UGACAGCCUGAAAAACCAGAGAGACCCAAAUCCUAAUCAACACAUAUGAUGAUUCAUUUAAAUUAGAUUGUUUAUUCUCACAACACAACUCUCUGCUAUGUUAUUUGUCACAAACAUUAAAUUCUUCAUACGAUGAAUCCUUUAAUUGACAAUAGAUUAAGUUGAUAAUUAAAUAGUGUCCAAUUACCUAAUUAACAAACAUAAUCAUGAAACUAAUUCAGAGAAUAAACAAAUACCCAAAAAGUAAUAAAACAAUUAAAGCAUAAGAAAGAUCUCACAGUAGUGAUGAAUCAAAGCUUCAUUAUCCUUCAACCAGAAAAAUGGGUUUAGUUCCUCAUAGAGAGAAGAGAAAAAUUAGAUCUAGGGUUUCUUUUCCUCCAAUCCAAAAAUCCCCCCUUUUUCACAAUAGAUUCCUCCCUUAAAUACUCUCUCUCUCUUCUCUUUUCGAAUUCUAUUUAAAAUAAAAUACUAAUAUCUGAAAUAUUAAAUUCGUAAUUACAAAAAUAACCAAAAAUACAAAACACGUUAAACUAAAAAAAACUGCAGGUCCGCAGUUGACAGCACGCGCCCAUGCCUUAUCAACAAAGUUCUUCUGACGCUCAGAAAUUUCUCCAAGAGAACAAUCCUCCUUAAACAUCAUCUUUUAGCUCAAUUUUAUCAUCAAUCAAUAGAAUUGCACCUACAAAAGUAAAACACAAGUAAAACAUUAUUAUUAAGUGCAAAACAUCGAUAUUAAGGGAAGUAAACAAUGCAAAACUAGUGCAUAAAUUGCACUCUAACAAGUGCCAACGUGAUUCGUGCAAUUUUAUCUAAGAAUUUUCAUAGAGCUUAAUGAAUCUUUGCAUAUUUAAAUUCACAUAGAGAUAUAGUGGGUUGAUAUGUAGAGAUAUUUUUGAUAUUACUCGAGAGAGGAUAUUGAAUAAAUUAGGAAAAUUCACUGUCAACAUGGGUAAUAAACUUUAAUAGCAUAGAUGGAGGAUUAAAUUGGAUUGGUUAUGGUGAAAUCGGAUGUCCUAGUGUUUUAAUCUCUUGGUGAUUUCUAUUACUGCAUGCGUCUUCAUUUAAUUUUUAAUUAUUUUAUUUUAUUUAACUUUAAUCUAAAUUCGCCUAAUCAAUUGUUCAAAUAAAGUAGGGUUAGAAUAAUUUCGGUAACUAAUAUGAUAUACAAUCUCUGUGGGACGAUACUUUACUCUUCAUUAUAUUACUUGUGCCGACUAGUACACUUGCUAAUUUAUGCAACAAAUUGGAGUGACUACAUACACGACAGAGGAAGCACAGCUAGCUUUAGCAAUCAUUCAAAUAAAUCAAACCCUGGAAACCGGGUAGUCGAGACAGGAUAAUCCCCAAUCUCUACAUUGUUGGCAGGAAGGAUGGCUAUUUUCGUCCAUUAUUUAUAACAUCGAAACGUUUUUUCCCCUCUUACUGUCAUUAUUAUUAUUGUGCCAAAAAGAAAAUUUUUUUUUUUUGAAGUGUGGAAUAAAGAGAAAGAGAUUCAGUGUAGAUUUUGAACCUCUCCUAAUCUAAUUUUUUCUAAUCAUUUAAAGAAUUGAUAACAUGUGACAAUUUUUGUGAUGAAUGGUUAAGAUUUCUUUACUUUUAUCUUUUUUCAUAAGUUGAUAUAUUACCCUAUUAAUAUUUUUGUCUUCUCUAAUUUUAAAAGAUUUACAUGAAUCCCUAUAAUCAUAGGAGGAAAAAGAAAAAAAAAGAGUCCUAAUGAUUCUUUUCCCAUAAAUUGAUAUAUUAGCAUAUUAUUGUGUUUUAUCUUCCUUAAUUUUAAAAGACAUGAAUCCCUAUAAACAUGGAAGAAAAAGAAGAGUCACAAUUAGAAUCGUCUAAUGAAAUUGACAGAGUAUGAGAUUAAUAAAUACCCAAAUAGAUGUAUUAGAAAUCAAAUCCAGAAAUUAAAAAAAAAAACAGCAAAAUUGCAGUCAAUUAACACCCAAACGAUUUCCAAUCUUAGUUAGCACUUACCAAUAGAUUUGUUGUAAGGAUAAGCAGUUGCAACUUGCAAGUUGCCUAUAAAAAAUAUAAUUGGUGGGAGAUUUACACAGAAGUAACUGUUCUUGUAUGGCAUUGUUUUCCAUAUUUAUUUAGUUCGUUUUUAGAUUAAUUUCAGGUUCCCGAAAAAAAAUUUCUAUUUGACAGAUCUUUGUUCAAAAAAAAAAAAAGGGAAAAAAGAAGAAGAUGAUAGACUUUAGAAAAAAGAAAUAAUCAUUUAUGGCCAAAAAAAAAAAACUACAAAAAUCUUGACCUUUGAAUAUAAAUUGCCAAUGUUGUGAGAUCGUUAAAAGAUGAAAAAUUAGAUUAGAAAAUGAUCCAAUUCCAGAGGGAUGAGAGCACAUAUUGAGCUUAAUAAUAAUAGAAAAAAAAUUCACUUGUAUUAAUUUCAAAUGCCUCUAAGGCCUUAUUUAUUCAAAAUGUUCAAUGACAUAAAACUAAGUCAUCAUGAAUAAUGAAUCAUGAUUCAUCUUCUUAAUAUAUAAGUCAUAAUACCUAUGAUUUCUUAUCAUGCAUAUACAUAUUUUAAUGGCAAUGAUUAUGGCUAUAUAUACAUGUAAUAUUGGAUAUUAGUCAAAUAUACUUGAUUGGGAAGAACUUCAUAAAAAUUAAUAAUAAUGAUGAGAAAGAAACAAUAAAUUAAUUGAUUGAUUGUCUGUUUUUUAAUUAUUGAUUAAGAAAUAUUGAUUGUUAAUUAAUAUAAAGAUUAAUUGACUCCAAUUUUACUAAUCAACCGAUAUUGCUUAUCUAUUUUAAUUGUAUCAUUUUUUUUUCAUACUUGUAUAAAUUGAACUUUUUUAAUCAUGUAUAAAUAAGAGCGAAAUUUAUUUUUUCUCUGUAGUUCAUAAAAGUUUAUAAUAGUAUUUUGAGCUAUACCCAAGCCCGAAUUAGUCCACCCUACUUCGUUCAAAUUGAACCUUUCCAACACCUUGGGCACAUAAUGGCUUGGGACAAAAAGAUUGUACCCUUCUUUCUGUCUCUAAUCACUUUCAUGAUUGUACUCACCUUUCUAUCUCUGUCCAUCUUCGUUCCCAAAAUCUUUUUAGAUGUUCCAACUAGAAAAACCAACAAGGACACCAGAAGCCGAGCCUUGCAAAAAGAAACCAACAAAGAAACAAAAAGCUGAAACAAAAAAAUCAAAUCUAAGUCGGGGCCUUAAAGAGUUAUAAUAUUAUAAAAAAAAGAAAAGAGGAAAAAAAAACAGUACAUUAAUUCAGAAUACGAGCCUUUCUAAAAUUACUCAAAUUUCAGCAUUAACACAGCAUAUUAUGAGAUUACAAGGUGCAUAUUAAUAUUAAAAAUAAUUAAUAUAAAAAUAUUUUAUAUUUUCUUCAUAUUUUGAAAAGUGGUUUCUAAUAAGACCCGAGAAAUUAUUAUACAUUCAUAUUUUCUUUCUUUUUUUUUUUAAAUAGAUUUUUUAGUUUCGUUAUUUCAUAGCCUUUAUAUUUGGAUGAAAAGGAAACAGCAGUGGGUAUUAAAGAAGUAACAUUCAAAUUUCCAUCCUCAUUUAGUUUGCAUUCUUGAUUUACCAUUUCAAAUUUCAAGAGAUGAGUAAUUUUCAAAUCCAAACCAUCAGAGACGGUUGAGCUGAACGAUCGAAAAGCUUUCUUCAAAAGCCAGUGAUGAUACCGGGUUAUUUCUGAAAAUAAACAAUAGAGGUCUCUUGAGAUAAAAUGAGGAGGGCUUGAAGUAACCCUCUACUCGUAACUUUUAGCCUAAAAUUGAAUUCGAACUAAUAUGAGGAGAGAUGUGGUAUUUUAUCUUUCUCGUUCCUAUCUUCUGUUUCCAUUCUUCCCAACGUUAUUUUUGUAGUUGAUUAUCUGACAAUUCAUGAGCUUGUUACCGAAAGAAUUUCUGGAUGCAUUUAUUAUGUGGCCAAUUGAAGAAGUUAAGGGAAUCCUAUCUAGUAUAAUUUCGAAUAAAUCAUGCUAGGCCGAUUUCAAAUAGGUCGAACAAUUUCUUAUUUAGUUUAAUUUUAUGUUUCUUAUUUUAUUAGGAUUUCAUAAUUCUAUGGGGAAAAGAAAGCUUGCAGCUUGGCCACCCCAAGUCAAAAACGUUGCUGGAGUAUUUAAAAAGAGUGAUGAUAUCUCCACCCCACAUUUUUUUUUUUUGUAAAUUCACCUCAUUUUUAAAAGAUAAUUAUAAAAGUUGCAUAUUAUUUUUAAAAUUUUCAAAUCAAGAAGAACUUUGGAAAAUUAAUUAAUUAAAUCUAUGUUAAUUCACUUUUUUUGUAACUUAUAUUUUUUUUCAGCAUGUUUGAUUACAAAGAUUGUUUUAACAUAAGUUUAAAUUGACUAUUUUACCCUUAUAAACUAAAAGAAUUUACUUUAACUUCAAUAUUUUUCUAAUUUGUACCAAACUCAUUGUUUCUAAUACUACUUUAUUAGUACGAUUAUUAUUUUUUAAUUGAAUUAACAUAGUGUCUUUAUAGCACAAUUCUCAUAUAAAUUAUUAAAUUGUCAAAUUUAUGUCAUUUACACAUAAGGGUAGUGAAAUAAUAAUUAGGUUUCAUUUAAAAAUAUUAGAUUAUAAGCUGCAAAAUUAAAUACCUAGAUUAUUAGAUACAAUAACUCAUGUUUUAUGAGGGUAAUUUUAUCUUUUAUAUCAUAAUAAUAAAAUAGUAAAAUAAAAUUUAUGAUAAAACAUGGUCAAAGAACUUAAGAAAAAAAUUAAGAGAAUGAUUUAAUUGAUAAACUAUACAAAACUUUUAUUAAUUUAUAUUUUUUAAGAAUAUUUUGAAAUUAUUUUAAUUACUUUUUAGAAGUGAGGUGGAUUUACAAAAAUAGUGGGAUGGAAAUAUCCCUAUCCAUUUAAAAAUUGAAUAGGAAAUUUACUUAUUUAGGUAAAUUAGGUCAAUUUCAUAUUUGGCACCUUGAUUGUUCACAUAACUUUGUUAUAGCCUAUCAAACUUUUACAUUUAUGUAUUAUAAUUCCCUUCUUUGUCUCUUUAAUUUUAUAAAUUUUAUGUUAUAGCUCACUCAAAUUUAUAAUUUCCUUGUUAUGGCCCCACACUAUAAGAAAAAUGAUCUACUAUGACAGUCCUCUGUGUGACAGUUUUUGAUAUGGAGAGCUACAACGAUAGACUGAUGAUAGAUUUUUUUUCUAUCAUGUAUUUACGACAUACUUGUGAUAGAAAUUUUAUCUAUCAAACAUCUAUGAUAGAUUGGUGAUAAAUUAUUUGGCUAUCAAAAAGUAAUGACAAGUUUGUGAUACAAUUUUGGUCGUCAAGCAACUUUUUUAUUUUGAUUUUAUUUUACAAGAUUGACUGAAAAUUUUAAAAUAAAUAAAAAUUAAAUAAAGAAUAAACGGUAUUGUUUGGAUUAAAAGAGAAAAUAAGAAACGACACCGUUUAGAUUGAAACUAAAUAAAAACAAAACCCUCUUCAGUUUUCAACCAUCGUAUUUUUUUUCCCAAAGUGUUGGCACUCUCAUUCUUGUCUCUCGCUCAGUCACUCUCGUCAAUCUCACACUCACAAAGCCCUUCUCGCCUGAAAUCCUUGCAUGGGCACUAAACCACUGCCGACGUUCUCUUGUAUUUCACUAUCGAUUUUGGCCCUCACCAAGAACUAUAUGGAAUACCCACCAAACACGUGUGCUACUACUAUUGAAUUUUACCCUAACUGAGAACCCUCACUAGCCCACUGUCGUAACCAUUUGAUCAAUACAGGUAAAUAAUGUUUCUAGUGUUGUGUUCCAUUUCAAUUUUAAUGUUCUUGUUGUUAACAUGAAUAUGUUAAUAAUAUUGAUUUUGAUGAUAACAAACUUUAAAUGGUUUUUGAUUAAAAUGUUGGAGCUAUUCCUUAAUAAAUGAAAGCCUUAUAAUCAUUCCAAUCAUUCUCUUAAAAGAUGGACUUUCAAAUUAAAAAAUGACUCUCUGCAAAAUCUGGUUUAAAAUGUGAUUCUGGAAAUAAACGGUGAACUGUUUUCUUUCAAAUGGUUAACCGAUUAAAACCAGAGAGCAACAUUUUGCCUAAGCUCUAACCGAUUAAGAAAAAUGGAAAAUACAAAAAGCUGGGAAGGCUAUUGGAAUUUAACGGUGAAUCGUUUAUUUAAACGGUUAACCGAUAAAAUCCAGAAUUGAAUCUUGUACUCUUCUGGCAUCGUUUAACAAAACCGGAUAAGGAUAAAUUGCUUUGCAGGUUACUCGAAACAAACGGCGAACCGUUUAUUACAAACGGUCAACCGAUAAUAUCUAGAGAGGUCACUUCAUGCAAAUCCUUAACCGUUUAAUGUAAACGGAUAACUGAUGUUCAUCUUGCAGGUCUCUGGAAUUUAACGGCGAAAGGGUAAUCCUAAACGGCAAACCGUUUAUUUGAAAUUUGGCCCAACGGUAACUUUUGACCAGUCUAAACGGUUAACCGUUAAUGGUUAACGGCGAACCGUUUUCGGACCAACAGUUUGUAACGGCUAGUUUUUAAGCUCCAAAUAUAAAUAAGCUCAUUCAAAUUCAAAGAAGAUUGAUCACAACAAGACUGUUGAGCAUAUACUUGAGUAUACAAUCUUCAUAGAGCUUUGAACACAUUCUUCCUUCAUUUAUUCACAUAUUGGGCAUCAUUGUGUAAUCUUAAAUGUUGUGAGAGGUAAAACAAAUUUGAAAUAUUUUGUUUUGAGUGAUUGUAAGUGUUGGGAUACACUUGGGUUAAAGAGAUUGGGAUAAUCUCUUGUUGUAAAGGUUCAUUGACACCUUGGAAGUCAAGUGUAAGCUUUUGAAGCCUUGGAGGCUUGCUUAGUGAAAUCCUCAAGCCCGGAAAGCUUGGAGGCGUGGACGUAGGAGAGGUUGGCCGAACCACAUAAAAAUCUUCAUGUUUGAAUCUCUCUUCCCUUAUCUUUUUAUAUUGUAAUUGAUUUAAUUACUAUUCCUUUAAAUUCAUUCUAGAUUUGCAUGAUAAUUUGUCUUAGAAUCAAAUAAUUUUUAGAAUCCCAAUUCACCCCCCUCUUGGGUUGCAUACUUGUAUUUCAAUUGGUAUCAGAGCCUUGUUCUCUUAUUAUGACUUAAUCGUCUAGAGUAAAAGAUCCAUGGUAACCCUAAAUGACUCAACCUUUAGAGAAGGGCAAUCCACAACUAGACCACCGUUCUUUGACGGUAAUGACCAUAUUUAUUGGAAAACUAGAAUGAGAAUCUAUUUGCAAGCUUUAGAUUAUGAAAUUUGGGAAGUUGUAUGUGAUGAUUCGUUUUUGCCCCUAACUAAAAAUGAAUUCGGGGAAGAUAUUCCAAAACCUUCAAGGGAAUGGAAUGAGUUGGAAAAGAGAAAAGCUUCUCUAAAUUCCAAAGCUAUGAAUGCUUUAUUUUGUGCACUUGAUAAAAAAGAAUUUCAUCGAGUAUCUAGUUGUGAAAGUGCUAAUGAAAUUUGGCACAAACUUGAAGUAGUUUAUGAAGGCACAAAUCAAGUGAAAGAGUAAAAAAUUAGUAGGUACACUCGACAAUAUGAGUUGUUCCAAAUGGAACAAAAUGAGAGUGUGUACUCUAUGUAUACGAGAUUUACGGACAUAGUAAACACCCUAGGAGCCCUAGGAAAGACCUUCUCAAAUAGCGAAAAAGUUAAGAAAAUCAUUAGGUCACUUCCAAAAGAAUGGAGAUCUAAAAGAACCGCUAUUGAAGAGGCCAAAGAUUUAAAUACUUUACCUCUUGAUGAUUUAAUUGGUUGUCUCAUUUCAUAUGAAGAAGAUUUGGCAGCAGAAAAAGAGCAUGAGGAGAAUAAGAAAAGCAUUGCUCUCAAAUCUUCAAAAUAUGAAAGUAAUGGGGAGAGUGAACCGGAUGAUGAAGAGCUAGCCAUGCUAGCAAGGAGGUUCAGAAAAUUCUUCAAGAAAACCGGAGAGCGAAGAAAUUUCAGAAACUUCAAGAACCAAAGGGAGAAGAAAGAGGUAAUCACAUGCUAUGAAUGCAAGAAAUCUGGCCAUAUAAGAUCGGAGUGCCCACUUAUCAACAAACUUAAGAAGAAAGCCAUGGUUGCAACUUGGGAUGAUAGCGAGGAAGAUUCGAGUGAUGACGAAAGGUCACAAGAAGUAUCAAACCUAGCGCUUAUGACAAUAAGAAGGAAUGAUGAUCUCAAUGAUGUAAGUGAUCCCACCUAUGAUGAAUUGUAUGAUGCUUUUAAAGAAUUACAUAAUGAGUUGAUGAAGAUUGGUAAAAAGAAUGUAUGUCUUAAAAAGGAAAUGGCAAAGCUUAAAAAUGAAAAUGAAUCUCUAAAUGCAAAAAUUGCAUGCCUAGAAGUAGAGAACAAAACAUUGCAUGAUGAAAUUGCACUAUCAAAUGAGAAACCUAGCAUCUCAAAUGAGCAUUUAGAAUCACACAUAGAUGAUUUGAGAAAUGAAAACGAAAUGCUUAUGAAAAAGAGCAAUGAUUUGAAUGAGAUUGUUUUGAAAUUUACAAAUGGGCAAAAGAUGUUGGAUAAUAUGCUUAACUAACAAAAAUGUGUUUUUGAUAAAGGAGGACUUGGGUAUAAACCUAACUUGAAGCAAAAAUAUUAUAAGAAUUAUUUUGUUAAAGCUACCUCCACAAGUGAUCAUAAGAUUGUUUGCCAUUAUUGUAAUCAAAACGGUCACAUGAAAUAUAGAUGUCCCGUGAAAAUGAAUGCAUAUUAUGGUGUCAAAUGUAUUUGGGUUCCAAAAGGAACUAUUGCUAACUCUCAAGGACCCAAAAAGCUUUGGGUACCUAAAACUUGAGAUUUUCUUUGUAGGGCUUAAAGAAGAAGAAAAAUAAAUGGUACUUGGACAGUGGUUGUUCAAGGCACAUGACCGGAAACUAUGCAUGAUUCUCAAGCUUCACCAAAAUUGAAAAUGGUGGAGACGUAUCUUUUGAAGACAACUCAAAAGGAAAAAUUCUUGGAAUUGGAAAUGUUGGUAAAGUUUCAUCAACUCUAAUUGAGAAUGUAUGUUUGGUUGAGAACUUGAAACACAACUUAAUUAGUAUUAGUCAAUUAUGUGACAAAGGUUAUAAAAUUAUCUUUGAUAAAUUUAGUUGUGUUAUUGAGAAUUCAUGUGAUGGCAAGAUCUUAUUUGUUGGGAAUAGAUGUGGUAAUGUUUAUAUCAUUGACAUAAAAUGUGCAUCUACUCUUGAUAAAUGUUUUUCGGCAUUGCAUGAUGAUAAUUGGCUAUGGCAUAGAAGGUUAGGACAUGCAAGUAUGGAUUUGAUUUCAAAAAUUUUGAAAAAUGAUUUAGUUAAAGGUCUUCCAAAAAUUGGUUUUAAAAAAUAUAAGAUUUGCGAAGCUUGUCAAUUUGGAAAACAAAUCAAAACAUCUUUCAAAAAUAAAAAUCAUAUUUCUACUUCAAAACCACUUCAACUUCUUCAUAUAGAUUUAUUUGGGCCCUCUAGAUAUGCCAGUUUAAAUGGAAAAUAUUAUGCAUUUAUGAUAGUAGAUAAUUAUUCUAGAUAUACUUGGGUAUUAUUCUUAGCCUAUAAGGAUGAUGCUCUUGAUGCCUUUAAAGUGUUUUGUAAGAAAAUACAAAAUGAAAAAGGGUAUGGUAUUACAUGCAUUAGGAGUGAUCAUGGAGGAGAGUUUGAAAAUCAUGCAUUUGAGAUUUUUUGUAAUAACUUUGGCAUUGAGCAUCAAUUUUCAUCACCUAGAACUCCACAACAAAAUGGAGUUGUUAAGAGAAAGAAUAGAUCCAUUCAAGAAAUGGUUAGGACUAUGUUGAAUGAAAAUUCAUUACCUAAGUAUUUUUGGGCUGAGGCCGUCAACACCGCUUGUUAUGUUUUAAAUCGUGUGUUCAUUAGACCUAAACUUAACAAAACUCCAUAUGAGCUUUGGAAGCAUAGAAAACCCAAUAUUGGUUAUUUCAAAGUGUUUGGAUGCAAAUGUUUUAUUUUGAACACAAAAGACAAUAUUGGCAAAUUUGAUCCAAAAUCUAAUGUUGGUAUUUUUCUUGGUUAUUCAAACUCAAGUAAAGUUUAUAGAGUCUAUAACAAAAAUACACUAGUUGUAGAAGAAUCUAUGCAUGUUAUAUUUGAUGAGUCUAACCCCUCCUCUGCGGAGAAAGGAAUAAAUUAUGAUGAUGCAAAUGGAGAGUUACAAGAAGAACCAUCAAACGAUAAUCAAGAAAAUGCACUACAAAGAAAUCAAGAGGAUGAACAAGAAGAGCAAACAAAUAUGGAGCAAUAUGAAGGUACUUCUCAAACACUCCCCAAGGAGUGGAGGUAUGUUUCUUCUCACCCUAAAGAUGUAAUCUUAGGAGAUCCAUCACGAGGCGUUACAACUAGAUCAUCACUUAGGAAUACUUGUAAGCAUAAUGCAUUCAUUUUUCAAAUUGAACCCAAAUCCUUUGCGGAUGUGGAAAAUGAUGAAUCUUGGAUUAUGGCAAUGCAAGAGGAGUUAAAUCAAUUUGAAAGAAACAAUGUGUGGGAAUUAGUUCCUAAACCGGAACAUCAAUCCAUUAUAGGUACUAAAUGGAUAUUUUGAAAUAAGAUGGAUGAAUCCGGUGUGGUUGUAAGAAAUAAAGCUAGAUUAAUGGCUCAAUGUUACAACCAAGAAGAAGGAAUUGAUUUUGAUGAAACAUUUACACCCGUUGCUAGACUAGAAUCAAUUAGAAUGUUGUUGACAUUUGCAUGUCAUAAAAAUUUCAUCUUAUUUUAAAUGGAUGUGAAAAUCGCUUUUUUAAAUGGGUAUAUUAUGGAAGAAGUAUGUGUAAAACAACCCCUGGUUUUGAAAAUGAAAAACUUUCAAAUCAUGUUUAUAAGUUGUUUAAAGCCUUGUAUGGAUUAAAACAAGCACCUAGAGCAUGAUAUGAUAGGCUUAAAAAUUUUUUGUUAGAAAAUGAUUUUUCCAUGGGUAAAGCGGAUACUACUCUCUUUGUUAAACAUAAGGACAAAGACAUACUUGUUGUUCAAAUUUAUAUUGAUGAUAUUAUUUUUUGUUCUACUAAUGAAUUGUUGUGUCAAGAAUUUUCAUCUUGCAUGAGUAAUGAAUUUGAAAUGAGUAUGAUAGGAGAGUUGAAGUACUUCCUUGGACUACAAAUAAAACAAAAUGAGGAAGAAAUUUUCAUAAAUCAAGCCAAGUAUGUAAAAGAUCUACUCAAAAGAUUCGGCAUUGAUGACUCAAAGACCAAAAAUACACCAAUGAGUACAAUAACCAAGCUCGACAAAGAUGAAAAAGGCAAAGAAGUGGAUAUCAAAAUGUAUCAAGGUAUGAUCGGAUCUUUACUUUAUUUAACUGCAAGUAGACUCGAUAUCAUGUUUAGUGUAUGCUUGUGCGCUAGGGUGGGCAAAAUACACGAUCCGAUCCGACCUGACUCGACCCGAACAAUUUCGGGUUCGGAUCGGAUCGGGUUGCGAAUAUAACUCGAUCGGGUGAAAAAUUGUAAACUUGAUCGGGUUGCUUAAAAAAACAAACUAACUAAACCUAAACCUAAACGCACGCACAACACACACAAAUCACACUCACAUAGUCACAGUAGAACAGAUUCACAAGUUGUAAUAGUUGAACAGAUUCACAACAUAUGAUUCAUUGAAGAAAUCACAAACACAGAACACACAAACAAAAGUACAAAACUCACAAGACACACACACACACACACAGAGCAGUGCCGCGAUCUAUUGACUCCCAACGACCACCGCUAACGGAGGCCACACACGCUCCACCUCCAGUGUUGUGAUCUAUUGUUGUCUCUCCGAACUUCGACCAGUCCCCACCGCUGCGCGUCCAGCCGUCCGCAAUCUGCUGUUGCACGUCCGUCCAUCUGCUGCCGCCAACUACCACCGAUCUGCUGCUGAAAACUCGUUCGUGAUCUGCUGCUCCAAGGCCAAGCCUCCAACCCGAGUACCCGACCCAAGUUUUUGCCCUUUGUGACUUUUGAUUUUGAAGCUUUCAUUUCAUGGUAUAUAAUUAGCGUUAAUUUUGAAGCUUUCAUUUCAUGGUAUAUAAUUAGCGUUAAUUUUGAAGCUUUCACCCAACCUGAUUAGAACUUAAAUAACCCGAACUCAAUCCGAUUCAUUAACCCUAACCCGAUUAUACCCGAGUUCAACCCGAUUUUUUGACCCGAUCCGAACCGACCCAAAUAUAUAUCAGAUCGGAUCGGAUCGGGUUGUAUUCGGAUUAAUAUUUACCUAACCCGAAACCCGAUCGGGUUAAUCCGAACCCAACCCAAAUCCAAUUUUGCCCACCCCUGUUGUGCGCAAGAUUUCAAUCAUGUCCCAAGGAAUCCCAUUUGAUUGCUGUUACAAGAAUUUUUCGUUAUUUGAGUGGAACCAUAGAUAUUGGACUUUGGUAUCCUAGGGGAACUCAUAUAGAUUUAACAUGCUAUUCGGAUGCGGACUUUGCCGGUUAUAAAAUUGAUAGGAAAAACACUAGUGGAACUUGCUAUAUUCUAGGUCACUCACUUGUUUCAUGGUUUAGCAAGAAAUAAAAUUCUAUUGCACUUUCAAUUACCGAGGCUGAAUAUAUAGCUGCAAGAAGUUGUUGUGCGCAAGCUCUUUGGAUGAAACAAACACUUAGAGAUUAUGGUAUUAACCUAGAACAAAUUCCUAUUAAGUGUGAUAAUACUAGUGCUAUAAAUCUUUCAAAUAAUCCCAUUCAACACUCUAGAACCAAGCAUAUAGAAAUAAGAUAUCAUUUUUUGAGAGAUCAUGUUCAAAAGAGAGAUAUUGCAUUAGAGUUUAUCUCUACAGAAAAACAACUUGCCGAUAUUUUUACCAAACCCCUUGGCGAAGAACAAUUUUUGAAAAUUCGGCAUGAACUUAGGAUGAUGAAAUUUUCGCAUUAACGUCUUUAUUCAUGCUAUUGAGUGUACUGAAUUGAUUGACUUAUUGGUGAUUUAAUAUUUAAGAAAUGCUUAAACUUGAUAUUCAAAUGAUGUAUUUGCUUUGUUAAUUCUUGAUUAAUUAUAUGAAUUAAUUGCUUGAAUACAUGUUCAUGAAUCAUGCAUUAAAAUAGCUCAUAAAACAUUUUUAGAUCAAUUAAAUGAUCUUGGAAUGUAUUAUUUGCUGGCCAAAAAUUAAAUGUGCGAAAUUAUAGAUAAAAUAAACGGUGAACCGUUUUAUUCCAGAAAUAAGAUUAUAUGUCUGUAUUUUUACUCUUUCACCGUUUGAUGCAAACGGUAAACCGUUUCAAAACAGAGAGUCCUUUAACAGUUACUCCUCAGCCGUUAAGGGCUUAAGUUUUCACCGUUUCUCAUUCUUUAGCCUCUGGAAGUUACCCCUUAACAGUUUAAAUAAACGGUUAAUCGUUUUCGUGAAUAUAAAACUGUUCAAAGGUUUUUCUUCUUCCUCUUCAGUUGCCCUUUCACCGUUUCAGCCAUUGUUGCGCAACUGACGUCUCCUCUGUCCCCAAAUCUUCAUUUUCCUUGCUUUUCUUGCCAAAUCAAACCUACAACAUCAUUUCUUAUCUCCUUUAGAACACUUUCACCAAUUCAAAUCUUCAAAUCAAGCCCAAAAUUAAAAAAUCCCAAAUCUAAACCCUAACUGCCGCCGUUCGGGUUUCUUCAUUUCUAAUCCGAUUCUUCCCCUUCUUCAACCAAAUUGAGCAUCACAAUCACAUCCUCUACUCAUUCCUAAGUAAAUAAUCGGUUCAUUUUCUUCUCAUCACAUCUCUCCCGCAAUUUUCAAACUCCGUUGUGCUUCACCAUGGCUGCACCCCCUCGGAGAAAUCUCAGGCGAAAAUCUAUGCCUCCAAGGAACCCUAUACCACCACGGGAAGUCUCUGAAUUCGCAAGAAUUCAUUUCCCCAUGUUUUCCUUAGCGAAGCGGUUCGAGGAUCGCUUCAAUGGUCGAAAGGUACUUGACUCUUCUUAUGUUAAAAUAGAUGAUUUCAGUACUUUAGUUGUAUGUGGUAGAAGCGUUAGGGAUAUGCUUCAGCCUUGGGAGUCUGCCAUUGACUUUGAUGACCGAGUUUAUCCCAACUUAGUGCGAGUCUUUUAUUCGAACAUGGAAAUCUCCGCAACUCGCCUAAAUAGGAUAGUUACUCAAGUCGACGAUGUGCCUAUUGAAUUUGAUGAUGCGGAUCUAGCUGACUUUCUUGGUAUCUCUAGUGAGGGUCAUGAUAUUUACACCUCUAGGUAAGCCCUUCACUUUGACAGCUUUUGCCAUACGAAUGGAGUCCGUAAUAUUUGUUGUCGUCAAGACUUGUCUGAUGAGAUCUGUUUGCUACCGUUUCGGUCUCAACUUUUACCUCUCCAAGUUUGCAUUCUUCACUCUAUCUUACAACACAUAGUGACUCCUAGGAAGGGUCACUUGGAUGAGGUUAUGAGGUUGGAUGUUGGCCUCUUAGAUAGCCUCAUUUCAGGCCGUCCCAUUAACGUCGGCUAUGUUAUUGUGCGGCACAUGUUGGGUACUCCCGCGGUUAACCACCGCUUACUUCCAUAUGGCAAUAUCAUUACUAAGAUACUGCGACGCUUUGAGGUGCCUCUUCUUGAUACCGGCCAUAUGGAGACUAAACGGAUUGGUCCCGAGGCCAUGACUAGUAUCGAUUUUUCUAGGAAGAAUAGAGAGUGGAUAAAGACAAGCAACUCCAAAAAUCGGGAUACCUUGAUUGCUCCAGAGGACGAUCGGAUGCUCAACGAUGUCUAUCCUCCCGAUAAGCUUCCCGGUUUUAGAUUAGGAGCUCAUCCUCAUCCUUCGCGUCGCCGUUUUGUCCCUCGUCCUCCAGCUGACUCUGACUCUGACUCUGAGGAGCGUGCGAUGGAUGCUGACAUUCCCUCCUCUUCCGAGCCGCCUCUCACUCCCGAGCAGCCUCCUGCUCCUGAGCCUUCUGCUGUUCCUGAGCAACCAUCUGCCUCUGUGCCACCUCCAGCUCCAGUUCAACCCCUUACUUCAGACGUUGUGCAGCAGUUGAUUGCUGAUGUUCAUCGGAUUUCAAAGCGCCAGCAGCUGAUUCUUGAUCGGUUGGACAUUUUUUCCCGUGACCACCAGCAGCUACGUUCUGACUUUCAGACCUUCCAGCAGCAGAGCAUUGAUCAGCAGCUUGAGCUUAUCGCUGGACAGCGCACUCUUCUCCGUUAUUUCGAUUAUGAUCCGGGGAGCACAUCUUCUCCACCUCCAUAGUUUAUGAGUUCUAUUUUUGCACAUACAUUUCAUAUUUUGGUUGUUUGUGUGUUGCCAUUUAUAUUUUUAUAUACACUGCUACCUCUAUAUGCUCUUUAUGGAUUUUGAUGACAUGUUUUUGUGAUGUUCUUGAUGUUGGAUGAUUUGAUAUUGUUUGCUGAGAUUUUUGGUUCAUUGGUUAAUGAAGUGUUGGUUUGUUUGUUCAGGGCGUUGUUGGAUGAUGGAGUUAUUGUUAAUAUAUUUUGGAAGUGUUUAAUCUCCUUUUGUAUUAGUGGUUUUGCUCCAUUUUAAGGGGAAACUCUGCCAAAAUUUUCGCUCGUCUAAACCGGGUAACUUCUUUAACGGAUUUGCGGUUUUCCUUUCUCUCUUUUCUUUUUGAUGAUGAAGGGGGAGAUAAUUAUGAGGAGAUUUAAAAUGAAUUUAAUAAUUAUGGGGAGAUUUAAAAUGAAUUUAAAAAUGUUUUCUUGAGUAAAAAUCUGUUUAUUGGACAUUUCUUAAUUUGGCCAUACAUUUAAGGGGAGUAAAAUAUUGAAUAAAGUUUGUCAUCAUAAAAAAGGGGGGGAUUGUUAACAUGAAUAUAUUAAUAAUUUUGAUUUUGAUGAUAAUAAACUUUAAAUGAUUUUUUAUUAAAAUGUUGGAGCUAUUCUUUAAUAAAUGAAUGCCUUAUAAUCAUUCCAACCAUUCUCUUAAAAAAUGGACUUUCAAAAUAAAAAUGACUCUCUGCAAAAUCUAGUUUAAAAUGUGAUUCUGGAAAUAAACGGUGAAUCAUUUUCUUUCAAACGGUUAACCGAUUAAAACUAGAGAGCAACAUUUUGCCUAAGCUCUAACCGAUUAAGAAAAAUGGAAAACACAAAAAGCUGGGAAGGCUACUGGAAUUUAACGGUGAACCGUUUAUUUAAACGAUUAACCGAUAAAAUUCAGAAUUGAAGGUUGUACUCUUCUGGCACCAUUUAACAAAACCGGAUAAGGCUAAAUUGCUUUGCAGGUUACUGAAAACAAACGGCGAACCGUUUAUUACAAACGGUCAACCGAUAAUAUCCAGAGAGGUCACUUCAUGUAAAUCCUUAACCGUUUAAUGUAAACGGAUAACUGAUGUUCAUCUUGCAGGUCUCUGGAAUUUAACGGCGAAAGGGUAAUCCUAAACGGCAAACCGUUUAUUUAAAAUUUGGCCCAACGGUAACUUUUGACCAGCCUAAACGGUUAACCGUUAAUGGUUAAAGGCGAACCGUUUUCGAGCCGACAGUUUGUAACGGCUAGUUUUUAAGCUCCAAAUAUAAAUAGGCUCAUUCAAAUUCAAAGAAGAUUGAUCACAACACGACUAUUGAGCAUAUACUUGAGUAUACAAUCUUCAUAGAGCUUUAAACACAUUCUUGCUUCAUCUAUUCACAUAUUGGGCACCAUUAUGUAAUUUUAAAUAUUGUGAGAGGCAAAACAAAUUUGAAAUAUUUUGUUUUGAGUGAUUGUAAGUGUUGGGAUACACUUGGGUUAAAGAGAUUGGAAUAAUCUCUUGUUGUAAAGGUUCAUUGACACCUUGGAAGUCAAGUGUAAGCUUUUGAAGCCUUGGAGGCUUGCUUAGUGAAAUCCUCAAGCUCGGAAAGCUUGGAGGCGUGGACAUAGGCGAGGUUAGCCGAACCACAUAAAAAUCUUCGUGUUUGAAUCUCUCUUCCCUUAUCUUUUUAUAUUGUAAUUGAUUUAAUUGCUAUUCCUUUAAAUUCAUUCUAGAUUUGCAUGAUAAUUUGUCUUAGAAUCAAAUAAUUUUUAGAAUCCCAAUUCACCCCCCUCUUGGGUUGCAUACUUGUAUUUCACUUGUCAAUUUCGAACCCUAGAUUUGUAAAACUUAGAAACCCUAGAUGUGUUCUUGUCAAAUUUGAACCCUGUAUACCUAAAUCUUGAAAAUCCUAGAUGCGUUCUUGUCAAAUUUGAACCCUAUACAUGUAAAAGUUGAAAACCCUAGGUGUGCUCUUGUUAAAUUUGGAUCUAUUUGAUUGGUCUUUUAUGUUUAUUUAUUUAUGAAAUUUUAAAAAAUUAUUCAUUUUUUUUAAUUUAAUUGUUAUAGUUUUAUUAUUAAAUUUCAUUUUGGCUGUAAAUAUCCUUGCCAAUUUAAUUGUGAUGGGUGUUAGGAUAUUAACUAGGCUGGUUUAUCAUUUGGGCUUUUCUAAUAACUAUUUUUUUUCACUUUUUGUGGAUGCAUGGAACUAUAUAUAUAGAUAGUUCUCAAAUUCAUUCACUGUGAGGCAAAGUCGUUUUUUUUCAUUGGUUAAAUUUACUAAUUCGUUGAAAUUACCGAAGCUUAGAACUACAAAAUCAGACAUAGGCUUUGCUCUUGACUGUGACAAAUCACUUGCAUGUAGCCAUAUGUUCACUAUCUUCGAAUUGGGGAUCUCCAAGUAUUUGAUAAAAAGCGUGAAUGAAUCUUGGCACUUUAAUUGUUGCAGUCCAUUUCAAUCUAUGAGGAGCCAAGGAAUAUGAAGCUUAUUUUGUUCAUUCGUAAAGCAAAGCUAAUACAAUUCAUGGCAAAGCUUGAUGAGGUGUUGUAUUUAAUCUUGCUCAUGCUUAGUCUAGGUGUACAGUUCAUCUAUCACAUAUUGUUCAAUUUAAGUUGACAUAUUGUUGCUUUGCUUUUUGAAGGACUGAGUUGUGUUAACUUACAGGAAUUCAAGAAUCGUGAGAAUUUAAAUCUAUAUUUUAUAUUUUAUAUGACAUGUUUUGGGGUGUAUGGGCGGGCCAUAAAGAAAACCGUACAGGCUUUGUUAAGGCCCAAAGCGAACAAUAUAUCGUCAUAUCUGGGUUUGGUCAUAACAGAUGGUAUCAGAGUGGCUCCGCGUGUCCUUUUAAGGGAUGGUGGGGUAAAUCUCAGGGAGGACGCUGAGUCCUUAAGGAGAGUGUAUGUAACACUCUAGAUGAAUCCCACAUUGGCAAAGCACGGAAGAAAUGCUGAGUUUAUAAGGAUCAACAUCUUAAUUGACAAGACGCGUUUUGGGGUGUAUGGGCACCCAAAAACAAAAUUGUGUGGCGCCCAAAGCGGACAAUAUCUUGUCAGGUAUGGGUUGGGUCAUGAUAAUUUAAAUUACUAAACCUACACCCAUUGCGGGUUUUAAUUUUUUAAGAAAACCCACCUGUUGUGGUUUUUAUAAUUACCAAACCCACAAUGGUAUUCAGUGGAUUUUUUGCGGGUUCUCACAUUUAAAAUCACAAUUGAGUAAUAAAUGAAUAAUGAAAUUUCCUUUUGUGAUUUUAAAAAAUGGAUGGAGUAAAAUUAUGUCAAAGGCAUUACACAUAUUUCUACCGAGUAACAAUUUGGAACUUUGUGCUUUGAAGAAGAAUUGUAAACUUUAUUAUAAUUUCAAGAACUCAACACUCCUCGUUGUUUUUUAUCUACAAAUGAUUCACUUGAGCACCAGUUACAGAAAACUAAUUAGCAGUAUAUCUUGAUCUUUGGCAGUAGUUGUAGGGCUGAUGCCAGUGAAGCUCCGAUAAUAUUAUUGCCUUCAAUAUUACUAUUUCACUCUUGAUUUUUCAGGAUCUUGGCUCAUUGUAGGAAAGCAUGUUACUUUAGGAUUGAAUGAAGUAAGUGGCUGAUUAACUAGUGGGAAGAAAUUACAUAGCCCGUAAUUUUUUUUUAAAAUUUUCAUUUUUAAAGAGAAAAAAAAUCAUUUUUGAGGUUAAUUAUCUAUCUUGUUGAACUGUAUUCUUGUAAUUGAGAUCAAUUUGAAGUUGAUGGCUUGUUUUUCAGAAAGAAAAUCUGAAGGAUGUGAUUGAUUAUUUACGGGACGAUGGAAAUGUCUCUAUGAUUAGAAUUUUUAAGACGUGGAACUCUUGAACCCUAUGUUUAGUUAUAUACUUAUAUUAAUUAAUAUGAUGGUUUUAUUAUUAUUAUUAUUAUUAUUAUUAUUAUUAUUAUUAUUAUUAUUAUUAUUAUUAUUAUUAUUCGUAGCGGCUACAAAAGAUUAAAAGAACUUAAAGGUGUGGCUUGUGGCUUUCUUGCUAUUUGGGCUUUAACUGCUGCCUCACCUGUCAUUGCUGCUAAUCUGGUGUGCCACUUCCAUUUUAGUGUAAUUACAUAAGUUAUUUUACUUGAUUGAUUAAUUAAUUAAUUAGUUCGUGGAUUGAAUAGCCAAAUUGAUGAAUUUUCAUGUCUUGGCUUUGGGGCUGUUGGAUUUUGCCGCUGGAAAACUACAUUUUGUAAUUUUGCUGCUGCAAGACUGAAUUUUGCAUAGAUUUGAUGCUGGAUGUUGAUGAAUUUUCAUGUCUUGGCUUUGGGUCUGCUGGAUUUUACUGCUGGAAGACUACAUUUUGUAAUUUUGCUGCUGCAAGACUAAAUUUUGCAUAGAUUUGAUGUUGCUGAAUGUUGAGUACUUUGCUUGGUUUUGGUUUGGACUUUGUUGCCUAUUGGCUUGACUUUGGAAUAUUGAUCAACUAAUGUAAUGUAAAGUUUGAAUUGCAUGUUUUCGAAAUUUAGAAGUACUUUGGAUAUUUCUAUGGAUAAUAAAGUUCACUAAUUUAGUUCGUUGGUUUUGGAUUUAAUUGCAUUUAGUAAUUUAUUUUCUUUCAUAUAAUUUUUAUAAUUUAAAUUUUAAAUUGAGGAAGCUAAAAUUGCACAAUUUUAUUUUAAAUUAAUAAAUAAAAUAAAUAAUCAUUUUUUUUCAAAAACACACAAUUGAUAUCCACACAAAAAAAAAUACAAUCCAAAAUUUUCUAAAAUAAUGAAAAUAUAAAAUAAAAAAUUAAUUUCCCUCUUUUAAGUUGUAUGACAUAAUUAUGACAGGUAAAAUUUAUCACAACUCGUGACAUGGUUUUAUCUGUCAUCUUUUCUUGACGCUGACUACAAUAACGGUAAGGAUAACCGUCAUCCACCCCCUACGAUGACAGUUUUUCCCUGUCAUGAUAGGUUCUUUUUCUUGUAGUGCCAUUAAACUAAGAUUCUACCAUCGAUUAAUAAAAAGAGAGAUUGUUAGUUUCUCCUCUAUUGAAAUCAAUAUAUACCACUUAUUUCUGUUAUUUAUAUAAUAACUAAAAUCCCCAUGGCAAAAAAUAUUUAAGCAAAAGGAGUAGAUAAGUCUUUGUUUAAUAUUUUAUCUUUGGAGUACAAAAUAUAUUUUUGUUAAAGAAAAAUUUCUAAAAAGUAACAAAAAAUACAAGAAAAUAUCUUGUUAUUAAUUUUUUUUACUGAUCCCAAAUAUAUUUUUUUAAUUUUUAAUUAUUGAAUUGACAAGUAAAAUAGAAUUGUCGUUAGAAAAGCCUGUAGACUGAACUAUCUGAGCCUUGAAAUAUGCUUUGAUUAGGUAUCCAAUUAGAGUUAAGGUAUAGAAACUAUAGCUAGUGUCCCGACUUGAAACCACCAAAGAGUAUAAUCACUAGAGAUGUAAUGUUUAAUGAAUCACAGAUAAUACAAGAAAAGAAAAAAUAUAUUGAUUAAGUGAAUGGGAAGGAUGAAGGACUAGAUAAGUCUCAUGCGCAGAGGGGUCUAGAGCUCACGAGCAAUCAAGCCGAGGAAAAUGCAAGUGAUGCACAAAAAGAAUGUAGAAUUGGAAGUUAUGAAGAGUUUGAAGGUCAAGCUAGUAUUAAGAACUAUUGACUACCAAGGUAUAGACAAAAAAAGAGUAUCAAAAGCAAUAAAAAGGUUGGACUAUGCUGAUAUAAUGGCAUAUGUUUUUGCAGCAGUGCAUAAUCUAUAUCAAGAAGAACCAAGUAUCUAUAAAGAAACUAUUGAGAGUCAGUAAGCAGAUCAAUUCAAAAAAGUUGUGCAAGAAGAAAUUGAGAAAUAUUUAAUUAAAUUUGGCUAAACUUAUAAAACUAGAUCAAUCUCAUAAGUGGUAUCAGAGUGAUGUAGUUAACUUUUGUUUGGUGAGUUAUUAGGAUUUUUAUAUCUUUUUAUAGGCAUGAAUAUAGAAGAAUGGUCUAGUUCACACCUACCAUUGUUAAAUGGUGUUGAGUAAAAUGUAGAGUUCAUAACUCUAAUUUUACCACUCAAAGGUUCACUUAAUACAACACUCAACACAACUUUUAUUGCUUAUAAGAAAGCUUGCUCUAGAUACAAUACAAGCUUAUAAGGAAGGGUUUAUAUAACAUCACAAAUACAACAAUAACUAUACAAUGUGCUAGGCACACUAAGCAUAUUUAUUAAUCACAAAUAUUUCAUCAUCACACAUGUAUCCCACUUCUUUUUUUAUUGCUUACAAACUCCAUUCCAUUAUAAAACUUUUAAACUAACAAUAGAAGAUUUCAUGGGUUGGAUUUUUUCAAUUAGGAUGGCAUUUUAUACUUUAACACUCCCCCUCAACACCAGCUUCCAUCCUUUUCGCUAUACUAGGCUAAAGAAAAAAGCUUUUAAACUUUCCAGCAAUCAAAAUUUUCACGAACAAAUCUGAAACUUGCUCAUUUUUCUUGAUGUAUUGUAGUUCAACUUUAUGUUUCAAGACUUUUUCCCUGACGAAGUGAUAAUACGCCUCCAUAUGCUUAAUUCUUUCAUGAAAGACUGGAUUCUUAGCCAAACGUAUUGCUGAUUGAUUGUCAUAGAACAAUAGAGUAGCAUAAUCAAUUGGUUAAUAUAGAUCAUUAAUCAGCAAUAUCAACCAUGUAGUUCUUGAGCUGCCAUUGUAGCUAUUCUGUACUCAGUUUCUGUCAUUGACAAGGACACAAUCAACUGUCUCUUACUACAUCAAGAAACCAUUCUAAAAUCCAGUUUAAAUAUAUAUCCAAUGGUUGAUUAACAAGUAUCAUGAUCUCAUGCAUAGUUAGCAUCACAAUAGCCAACUCGCUUGCAAUCUUCACCUUUCUUGCACAAAAGACCAUAGUUAAUUUUACCUUUUACAUAUCUCUGUAUUCGCUUAACUUCUUCUAAAUAUGGCUUCUUUGGAUUUGUAUAUAUCUAUUUAUCACAUUAAUGACAUAAGAAAUGUUAGGUCGAGUCAAGGUUAAGUGGAUAAGAUAACCUACUAAUUGUUGAUACAUUGUUGCAUCUUCUAAGUUUUUUCUUUCAUGUGCACACAUAUUGCCAUUUGUUUCCAUUGGUGUUAAGAAAUAUUCCUUCUUGUGUGUAAUCAACCUCGAGACCAAGAAAAUGCUUAGAUUGUAUAAAUCCUUUCAUCUCGAUAUGAACUAAUAAGCUCUAUUUUGUUCAAAGGAUUUCUGCCUCAUUAUCACUGAUUAUAAUUAUCUUCCAUUAGCUUUAACCAACAAGCUGGAAUCUGCUGGUGUUACUAAAUAACUACUUUUAGUUAGAAAUUUAACAAUUUUACCAUACCACACUCUAGGUGCUUGUUUUAAUCUGUAUAGUACUUUCUAGAGCUUACAUACAUAUUUACGAUGAUCAUGGUUUCAAAGUACCAUUAGUUGAAUCAGAUAGAUCUCUGAUCUCACUCUCCAUGAAGAAAGACAUUCUUCACAUCUAUCUGCCAUAAGUUUCAGUCUUUAUUGGUUGUAAGUGCAAGUACAACUCAUAUAGUUAUAAAUUUUACCACCGGAUUAAAUGUUUCAUAAUAGUCUAGUACUUACUUCUGAAAGAAACCAUGAGCUAACAACUGAGCAUUGUGCCUCUAAAUUGAGUCAAGAUAACCAUAUUGAAGUAUACAACACCAGCCCAAUUGAAGAGAUCCUGCCCAUGGAACGUUCUACUGUUAGUUUAAAAGUUUUAAAAUGGAAUAGAGUUGAUAAGCAAUAAACAAAGAAGUGGAAAUAUUUGUGAUUAAUAAAUAUGCUUAGUGUGUCUAGAUUGCAUGGCGAUUAUUGCAUUUGUGAUGCGAUAUAAACCCUUCCAUGUAAGCUUGUAUUGUAUCUAGAGUAAGCUUUCUUAUAAGCAAUAAAAGAAGACCUAAUAGAAUUUUUUUGCUGCAUCCAAACUAAUAUCAGUCCAACAUAUUUCAUGAAUAAAAUGUGACCAAUUAACCAACCAGGUCCAAUCAUUGAUCCAAAAAUUUCUACAAUAAAUUUUGGUAGGUCACUAAUAUAGUUCCCUAUCAGCGAUUUUGCUAUUUCUUGAAAUCAUUUUGCUGAAAUCUGGGAGGGAUCCUCUGGAUGAGUAGAAAACGUAAAGUAAGUAAGGCUUUGAAUGCUUUGCUUUUGUAUAAAAUUAGUAAUAUUCUAACUAGAUCAUGGAAUCGCUUUUCACUCAGUCAUUGAAUCACUACAAGUGACGGAGAUACAUGAUUUAAAUAAGAAAAAAGCCAAUAUUUAAAAAAUGUAUUGAGUAAAUUUUUUCUUUGAGCAGAAAAAUUAGUUGUGAAUUCUACAUUUUUAUUCAACAUUUGGUAUCAAAGGGAGUUUAUCGGUGUUAUAAAUAGCAGUGUAGCAUAUCAAAUCAAAGAUCCAGACGAGAAGUACACGAUGCCGAAAAAAUCAGACUGAUCAGACCACAUGCACUUGCAAUUGCCGCCAAAAUUUCUGCCCAUAAUUUGAGAUGACCAUUGGUCAAUGUUGAUCAUUAACCCAAGUUGACUAUUGACCUAAAUUCCUUCCAAGAUUUUUCGACGUUCUGGUUUUAUUCGUGCGAUCAAAAUUUCUAAAUUCUGACUUUUGAUGGAGUUGUCUUGAGUUGUGAGAAGUUUGUAAUUCUACAAGAUUGAUAGUCAAGCUUGUUUGAUAUUGUUAAAAUCUUGUCCACAUAAUGGGUGAUGUUCACAUAGUUGGAGGAAUUAAGACGCUUUACCAAAACUAUAGCACAUGGGUAAUGUGUAAUGAGUCUCACCUAAAAGGUCAAAACCUUUGGGAGAUUGUGGGUGGUAGUAAAGCUAUGGAACUAACGACAGAAGAUAAUAAUGGCGUUUUGUGAAAGUGAAAGGAUAAAGCAGGCAAGGUAAUGUUUGCUUUAAAGACCACAAUUAAAGAAGAAAUGUUGGAGCACAUUUGGGAUGCCAAAACACGAAGGAAGCUUGUAACAUGUUGCAUAAAUUAGCAAGUGUACUAGUCAGCAUAAAAAAUAUAAUGAAAAGUAGAGUAUCGUCCUAUAGAGAUUGUAUAUCCUAUUAACUACUGAAUUUUUUUUAACCCAAAUUUAUUUGAAUAAUCGAAUAAGUGAAUUUAGAUUAAAAAUUAAAAUAAAAUAAGGCAACUAAAAAUUAAAUAAAUAUGCAAGCAGUAAUAGAAAUUACCAAGAGAUUAAGACAUUAGGACAUCUGAUUUCACCAUAACUAAUCCAAUUUAAUCCCCCAUCUAUGCUAUUAAAGGUUAUUAUCCAUGUUGACAAUUAAAUAACCCUAAUUCCUUUGAUACUUUUUCUCAAGCAAUACCAUGUACUAAUAUACCAUAUCUCGACGUGCAUUACAACAUAUGAAAACUCAUUAAAGUUUGUGGUAAUUAACUGCACGAAUCAGGUUAGUACAUCUGCAUUGAAAACUCAUUAAAGUUUGUAGUAAUUGACUACACGAAUCAAGUUACAACAUCUUCGUCUCCCAUGUUAUUCAUGACAUUCAUUACAUAGAGUAAAAAUAUAUAAAUCUCCUUUCGAUCUCAUUAUGUAUUCUCAAAUCAUUCAAAUAUUAGUCAAAUGUUUAAAAGUAUUAAGUACAAUAAUGAAUACUCAAUCAUUGAAUAAUAAACUAAAAAUAACACAAAUUUAUGGAAUUAAAUCAUCAUAGUUAGGCAUUGUGACCCUAGCAAAAUAAAUUAGUUCAUGGAAAUAUAAAGAGAAUCCAUAAAUUUAAUUGGGAGCAUUCAAGCAAGACAAUUCAUAAAUUUAAUUAGGAACAUCAAAGCGAGACAAUUAGAAAAGGGAAAGAAAAACUCAAUCAAAGCGUUUUCUUCCUUCAAAUUGCUCCUAUUGCUUUCAAACUUUUUUCUAAUUACUAUGGUUGCUACUCUUUUUCUAAUUCUCUCUUCCUUUUUCGAUUUUGUCUUUCUCUUGACUUUUGCUCGUGCCAUCUUUUUUUUUGUCUCAAUCGGUGGCCUUCUUUAUUAAUAAUGUUGACCGCCUCAAAUCCUUAACUCAAUAGGAUUUAAAACAAGCCAAUAAAGUAAACCGACAAUAAGCCCAUCACUUGAAGCCCACCAAAUUCAAUUUUAGGCCGAAGCUUAUGCCAAAUUCUUCAAAUUUUCACGUGCCAUUUUUACGAUAUAAUCCAAUUCUAUUGCCUUCUAGUGUUCCACGUGAAUGCAUGCAUGAUGGAUAAUUAAAUUGCAUCUUCCUUGAUUUCUUCAAUUAAAUUUCUUUAUUCCUUUCUCAUUCUAAUUCUUUCGAGUAGAUUUCUUUUUAAAUGUUCCGAUUUAAUUUCUCUUUAAUCUAAGAAUAUACUUAAAAUAACAAAAUAUAAAAAAUAAGAUAAAAAUUAACAUAAUAAAAUAUUAUUUAACAUAAAAUUAAGUUACGGAGAUAUUAAAUAAUAUAUAAAUUAUGAGCACAUGAGGACACUCUUGUUGCAUGUUUAUCAAAGAAAACAAUACAAAGUUGCAACUUCUUGAGAACGAGUUGUUAAUGAUUGUGCAACUUAACGUGACGAUUGCUCAAUACUUUCACAAGGUGAAGUUAAUACACAGUGAAAUUUCAGAGUUAGUUUUGAUAGCUGCUUUUAGAGAAUCCAGGAUAAAAAGAAUAAUUGUCCAUAGUUUGAGACCCUAAUAUCAAAGCUUUAUUGUUUCGGUACAAGGAUGGCCAACAUAAUCAUCACUUGUUAAGUUACUAAGCAAGAGGGAGAAGUCUUACUAAAAGGUAAGGAAGAAGCACUCAUCAAGGCGAGAGAGGUUCGUCUAGGGGGGCGUUUCAAAGAAUCAUGAUCAUAAAAAAUAAAAAUAAAAAGUUUAAUGUCAAAUGUUUCAGUAGUGAAAAGAAUGACCAUAUGGCCAAAGAUUGUUGGUCUAAGAAGAAGAAGCUCAUUGAGAGUAAUGUUGUUACUUAUAGCUUUAUAAAGAAAAGCAAAGAUGACUGGAAUACUAAAGCAUCAUUUGUUGUGGAGGAAGAAGAAUUAGCUCUCACAGUGACAACCACAUAACAAAUUGACCACAAAAAUGACCGGAUUGUUGAUUAUGAUUGCUCAAAUCACAUGACCAAUAACAAACAAAAGUUAAAGAAAUUGUCCGAGUAUAAAAGAAGUCAAGUAGUAGUGACAACCAACAAUUAGAAGUUGCAAAUAGCUCAUAUUGGUAAAACCAUAAUUAUGCCCCAAUAUAGUCCCAACUAAGUACCAAUCCAAGACGUCUAUCAUGUCCUAGGUAUGAAGAAAAAUCUACUUUCAAUGUCAAUUAUGUCGUCAUCAGGCCACUAUGUCUUUUUCAGCUUGCAAGAUAUUAAUGUGUAUCAUGACCUUAAUAUUUCAGAAAAGCCAAUGAUAGUAGGUUGAGGUUUGGAGCUAGUAUAUAUAAUAUCAGCAAGUUUGCAUAUGUAAACAAGACAAAAAUAGACAGGACAAUAGAUUUAUGGCACAUGUCGUUAGGUCACAUUAGCAACUCCAAGUUAAGUAUAAUGGUAAACGACUAAAUGCAUAAGGAGCUUUCUAAACUUGACAUGAGAACAAAUAUUAUUUGUGUAGGAUGUCAAUAUAGUAAAGCACAUCAACUACCAUACAAAGAUUUAAAGUUUAGAGCAAAUGAACCAUUAGUGUUCGGGCCUAUCAAGCAACUAUUAGUUGGUGGAAUAUGGUACAUAGUGAGGUUCAUUAAUGAUUUCCCCGGAUAUGUGUGGCUUUUCUUUAUGAAAGAAAAAUCUAACACAUUUUCCAAGUUUAAAGAAUCUAGAAAGCUAGUUGAAGGAGAAGUUAAAAGAAAGAUCCACUGUUUUCGCAUAGAUAAUAGAGGAUAAUGCUAUUCCGGUGAGUUUUCACAAUAUUAAUGGGAAUUUUAAAUAUACCACCAAUAGACCUGUGACAAUAUGCCACAACAAAACGGUUUAACAAAAAGAAUUAACCAGCAUCUUACAAAAGUUUGUCGAAGCAUGCUAUAUGCAAAGAGUGUACCUGGAAGGUUUUGGGCCAAAACUAUGAGAACCGCAUCUCAUGUGAUCAAUAAACUUCCCUAACCUAGUUUACAGUUUGUUUCACCCUUUAAAAAACUAUGCGACAUGAAACUUAUAGUUACUUAUUUUUUAGUAUUUGGUUGUGUUUGCUAUGUAUUUGUUCCUCGUCAUUUACAUAGCAAAUUUGAUAAGAAAGCAGUUAGAUGUAUCUUUAUGGCAUACGACAGUUAAAAUGUUCCCCCUUCUUUGGUUUUAAUUUCACUUUAAAUUCACUUGAUUCUAGCAACACCUAUUUUUUUUAGGACCAGUAAUAAAAUGCUUCAUCAAACACUACAUCAUGUGAAGGUAACAUAUUUUACUUGUACGAUCACAACAUUUCCAACCUUUUCUUUGACUGUCGUAUCCCAUAAAGAUACAUCUAAUUGCUUUCUUAUCAAACUUGCUAAAUAAAUUAUCAUGAACAAAUACAUAGCAAACACAGUCAAAUACUCAAAAAUAACUAAUUGCAUGUUUCAUGUCCCAUAGUUUCUCAAAAAUGAAACAAACUCCAAGCUAUGCUAGGGAAGAUUAUUGAUCACAUGGGCUAUAGUUCUUAUAGCUUCGGCUCAAAACCAUCUGAGUACAUUCUUUGCAUAUAACAUGCUUCGAUAGACUUCUGCAAGAUGUCAGUUCUUUUUUUCUGCUAUAUCAUUCUGCUAUGGCAUAUUGGCACAUGUAUACUAGUGGCGUAUUUGACAUUCCUGUAUAUUGAGAAAACUCACUUGAGUUAUAUCCUUCCCCCUUAUCUAUGUGGAAGUAGCGGAUCUUCUUUCCUGCUUCUCCUUCAACAAUGAAUUUUUUAAACUUUGAGCACAUGUUAGAUUUUUCUUUCAUAAAGAAGACCUACAUAUACCUAGAGAAAUCAUCAAUGAACAUCACCAUGUACUGCAUUCCACCAACUAACGGUUUCUUGAUAAGCUCGAACACAUCAAAAUGUAUCAACUCUAAUAGUUCUUUUGGUUCCUUGUACGGUAAUUGAUGCGCUUCACUAUACUCGCAUCUGUCACAAAUAGUAUUUAUUCUCACAUCAAGUUGAGGAAAUCCUUUAAGCAUUUACUUAUUUACAAUUAUACUCAGCAUGGAACAGCUAACAUGAUCCAACCGCAUGUGCCACAAAUUUAGGGAUUCGAAUGUAGGUACAUCUAGAUCCGAAUCCAUAUUGACAUUUUUAUAUCUGAAUGCGGGUAAUAUCCGACUAGAUUGCAAGCGGAUAUCCCAUAUCCAUAUCCACAAAAAUUAAAUUUAACAAUUUAAAAUAUAAUUUAAAAAUUCAACAAUUUACCAAAUUAAAAUCCCAAAACCUAAUUAAAGUAAUUUAUAAAGUGAGUUAACAUAUGUGAAAAAAAUGAGAUUAAGCAUUUAUAUUAUAUUGAAAAUUAAUUACUCUAAUGCAUUUAAUCAAUUUAAUCAAAGUAAUUAAUUGAGAAAAUUAAUCAAAAUUAAAUUGAAUUGAAUCAACAAAGAAAAUUAAAUUGAGCCAGUAAACUUUCAAAGUAUAAACAAGUUACAUUAGAUUGAACUCACUAAAUUCACUAAAUAUAAUCAAACAAUCAACCAAAAUACCAAAUCAUUAAUAAAUAAAAAAUGCCAUGUAAUUAAUAGUACUAAAGAAACAAAAACCAAAGAGAAAAUUAUCGGCAAGAAAGAUCCAACCAGGAGAGGCUUGGACGACGGCAACGUAUGCAGCGACAGUAGCAUGCUCAUGGGAGGCUUCAAUGACGGUGAAGCUUAGAUGGCAGAGGGGCCUACAUCGUGUACUGCCAGCAGUGGGCUAAGGUAAGGCUUCGACUUGACCCUUAGGCAAGGCCACGAGGCAGACAAUGAUGGGCUAAUGGCAUUACAAUCCUUGCGGAUUUAAGGGCAUUGGGCUUUAGGGAUUUGUGGUUUGCAGUUUUUUGUGAAGUAUUCUGAGUGUGUGUGAAUGUAAUUGACAUUAGGGUUAGGGACUUAGGUUAGAUUUGUUUUUAAUUUAAGUUAAUAUAUAUAUUUUUUUAAUUUAAUAAAAAAUUUAACUGAAUCCGGAAAUCUAUUAUUCCAAGUGUACUUGCAUCCCGAUCUAGAUCUGGAUCCAUGGAUUCUAAUUUUUCACAUCUGAGUUUAUAUUUUUUAAUAUGAAGAUUCAGAUUUUUCUAGAUCUGAAUCAUCUUCAUCCUUGCAGAUGUGGUUUAGAUUUAGAUUUUAUUGUCAUCCUUACACAAAUCUAUUAUCUAGUUCAUUCUUUUUUUUAUACAUAUGUAGAUUCUGCUGACAUUAUAUAAACUGACUCUAAUCAUCGUCCCUCUAUUAUUGGUUUUUCUAAAAUAUUAAGGUUAUAAUACAAUUAAAAUAUUGUGGGCCGAAUAAGAUAUAAUGGCCUGGUGACGUCAAUUGAUACACUAAAAGUUGAUUUUUCUUUAUGCAUGGAACAUGAUAGACUUCUUAGAGUGGUACAUGGUUGGGACUAUAUCAAGGCGCAAUUACAGUUUUAUCAAUGUGAGCUAUUUCUCUUAUACUCAGAUAAAUUCUGUAACUUCUGUUUACCUAUGACUAUCUGAUUUGAGUAACCUUAAUUAACAAUCCAAUCAUUCUUGUAUUUAAUCUCUUCCACGGUUGUCACUAUGAGAGCCAAUUCUUCUUCCUCUAUAGUGAAUGAUGCUUCAGUAUCCCAGUCAUUCUUCAUUUUUCUCUUUAGAGCUAAAAGUAACAGCAUUACUUUUAAUGAGAUUCUUUUUUUAGACCAAUAAUUUUUUGCCACAUGGCCCUUCUUCCUAUAAUUGAAACAUUCGCCAUCAAACUUUUUAUUACUACCACGAUUCUUUAAAGCUUCCCCUAGAUGAGAACCUCCCUCUCCUUGAUGACUUUCUGUUUUGUCAUCAUUCUUUUUAGACCCACCUCUACUGUGUUAAUGGGGUUACCUUUGCUUUUAUUCGUAUAGAGUGCUUCCUCCUUACUUGUCAGCAAGACUUCUCCCUCUUGCUUAGCCAUUACUUCUUAAUUGGCAAGUAAAUGUUCAAACUCAACAAGUGAUGAUUGUGUUAGCCAUGGACAAUUAUUCUUUUUAUCCUAGCUUCCUUAAGAGCAACUGUUGAAUUUAACUCUGAAAUUUCACAGCAUAUCGACCUCACCUUCUGAAAGUAUUGAGCACUUGUCAUGCUACAUUAUGCAAUUAGUAGAACUCACUCUUAAUAAGUUGCAUUUUUGUAUUAUUUUUCUUUGAAAAACAAGCAGCAAGAGCAUCCCAAGCUUCCUUCGGUGUUUUGGCAUGCUGAAUGUGCUCCAACAUUUCUUUUUCAAUUGUAGUCUUUAAAGCAAACAUCACCUUGCUUGUUUAAUUUUCCACUUUCACAAAACACCAUUGGUCUUCUAUCGUUAGUUGUGUAGCGCUACUACUACCGACAAUCUCCCAAAGGUCUUGACCUUGUAGGCAAAACUCCAUGAACAUUGGCCACGUAUUAUAGUUUUGGUUGUUAAGCACUUGACUCCUCUAACUACUUAUCAUAUUGGCAAGAUUUCAACUAUACCGAAUAAGCUUGACUAACAAUUUUAUAGAAUUACAAACUUCUCACAACUCUAGAUAACUCCACCAAGGAGUUAAAGUUUGGAAAUUUUGACCGCACAAAUAAAACCAAAACAUUAAAGAAUCUUGGCUGGAAUUCAUAUCAACCUUCAGUCAAAGGUCAACAUCAGUCAACAAUCAACGUCGGUCCAUGGUCAACUCAAAUUCUGGGCAGAAAUUCAGACGACAAUUGCAACCGCAUUUGGUCUUUGAUCAGUCUAAUUUUUAUAGCGUUGCAUUCUUCUCGUUGAGAUCUUUGAUUUAAUAUGCUACACUAUCAUGUAUAGCAUUGAUAACCUCACUCUGAUACCAAAUAUAGAGUAAAAAUGUAGAGUUUACAACUCUAAUUUUACCACUCAAAGAAGAAAUUCACUUAAUACUAGACUCAACACCACUUAUGUUACUGGUUAUAAGAAAGCUUGUUUUGGAUAUAAUACAAGCUUACAAAGAAGGGUUUAUAUAGCAUCACAAAUGCAAUAAUAGCCACAAAUGUGCUAAACACACUAAUAAUAUGUUUACUUAUUGGGAAUGGGAAUGAGAAUGUGAAUGGAAAUGAAUGACGUGUUUUGGGAAUGAAUGAUGUGCUUACUUAUUUAAAUGAGAGGCGGAAUGAGAAUCAAAUUGGUGGGCCCCACUUAAAAUUGAGAAUCAAAUAGGUGGAAUGAUUACCCUCCUCCUCCUCCUCCUCCUCCUCCUCCUCCUUCUCCUUCUUAUUAUUAUUACUGUUAUUAUUAUUAUUAUUAUUAACAACAAUUAUAAUUAUUAUUUAUAUUAUUACUAAUAUUAAUGACAAUAAUCAACUAAGAUCAAUUUAGUAACUUGCAACAAUCUAUUCUAAUUUUAACACAAAGUAAAUACAUCAAUGGCAAUAGAGUUCAUUCCGAUUCUAAUUCCCAUAGUAAAGUAAACAAUUUAUUCUAAUUUCCAUUUCCCAUUCCGGUUCCAUCCCAUUCCAAUAUCGCUUCAUUCAAAUUACUGAUUAGUAAACAUACCAUAAGCAUAUUUAUUAACCACUCAUAUUUCCCCAUUACACACGUAGCUCACUUCCUUGCUUACACUACAAGAAAAAUCACUUUUAGUAGCAUUAUGUAAUAGCAUUUUAUUACAAAAUGCUAUAAAACGUUAAUUUUUUAUUACACAAUCUAAAAAACGCUAUAAUUAAAUAUCUAAGUGAUAACAUUUUACUUUUUAUAGCAUUUUAUAUUUCAUUAAUAGCAUUUUUUUUAAAUGUCAUAUAUUACAUUAACAAACGUAGCUCUUUUAAAAUGCUACGAAAAAACACACCUUUGUAACAUUUAAAAAAUGCUGCGAAAAGAAAAAAACAAGUAAAUAAAUCUACCGCCAAGAUUAGAAACACGCGGGCACUCUCUUUUUCCAAAAUUUAAUAUUAUAAAAGGACAUCUAAAGCCUACAUCCCUUCUUUUUUUGUCUUUCUCUAGAUUCCGCCUAAAAUCCCCUACUUUUGUCAAUUUCUUUUGUUUGCUUGAUUUUAUAACCUUUUUUUUUUUUUACAAGCUUGUGAACCUAUGGCAUUCAGUCUCCUAACAGCUUACAAAGUACUAAAGAUAAGAACUAUGAAACUAUCCAGCUAGUUCUUUUCUAGUUGGAAUUACAGGCACAAGAAAAUUCCCAAAUGGUGAAUCAAAAAUUUUGAAGUUUCCGGUGCAGCCCUCUUGCUGCUACUGCAAAAUUUUUUGCUUGUUGAAUCCUCACAUUAAUUUCACUAGUUUGAGCCACUGGAACUAUUGUAUGACUUGUUGAUGGUACAUCUCUGGCUUUAUUUGCGGUAGAUGAAGAGACAAUCCGGCGGGGGGGCGGCUGAUUGAUCUUUCUCCUCUUGGGUUCAGGUGCCGUUUUUGCCAUUGGCUUCGGCGGCCAAGAACGGCGCCAGUCGAUGGUAAAUGAUGAUCCCCUUGCCUGAUUUUAUAACUUAAGUAGCUAGAUCUCUCAAAAUCAAAAAGUUCUGAUCCUUAAUCCUUUAUUGUCUCAAGGCUUGUUGUUGUUGGGUCUUCCCUCAAAUCUUUCACAUGAAUAUUUACAUGUAAGCUUUAAUUUUUUAAUUUAAUUUACCGAAUUUAGGGUUUUCAAUUGUUACUAUAGGAUUUCUUAUGUUGAUUCCAUUUUAUAUGGAGCAAUUUCUGAUAUGUUUGGUUCAUUUAUUUUUCUUACAUUUAGAAGUAAUAUAUCAAAAACUAUGAAAAUUCUCAUUUAUGCCUUAACAAUCCGAAAUUUUGUAUAUCGAUCACAUAAUAGGUUUUUUUCAUCUUAAUUAUUUAUUUUUAGUUAGUAAAUAUUUCUUUAGGGAGGGUGAUUAGAGAAUCAUUCUGUCGGUUUCCAGCUAGACAGUGCAUAUAGCUAAAGUUUUGCAUCAAUAUUGUGAUGUUGUGAAAGAAAGAAAUGAGUUGAUUGAUGUGCAAUUUCUAAAAACUUGGCACUACAACUUCUGUGUAGUUUCUAAGUUUGAGAAUAUGUACUGAUUUAAUUAGAACUUGCAGAUCUUUAAUAGCCAGAAUUUUCUCCUGAGUUACAACAUUUAUGGGUUGCAUUGGCAUUUUAAAAGAGGGAAGGCUUCAAUUGAGGUAGAUCUUUAUGAUGUCUCAUUAUUUGUGGACUUUCCUUUACUAAUUUCAGUUUUGUUGUUUUUGUUGGUUGUACUGUUGAUUCUGUUGUUUUGUCAUUUAUUUUAUUGAGUUGAUUUUAUUUCUUAUAUACUAAUAUCAAUCCCUCUUGUCUGGUUAGGGUAAUGGUUGUUGUUGCAUUUUUCCAACCAAUUGAUGCUUAAGUGAGAUCCAUAAGUGAAGAUUUAUCUUGCCGAAUUUAGUCUCAUGCACAUGGUUUUCUUUUUGUUUUGUUUAAAUGAAGAUUUAAAUUAAUCUAAAUUUGUUUGUUCUUGGUAGUGUUUGGGUUUUAUUUAUUAAGCUAGAAAACUUGAAUUUAACUUAUUAAAGUGGUCAUUAGACACAAACAAGAUUAUCAAUAAGCCCAUAUUGCUUGGUUAUUUAGAUUGUGCCCGUACAAAAGGACUAGAUGCUGAAAGUUCUCAAAAGUCUCUCAAAAUUCAUGAUAGCCUCAUGUUUUGUUUAUAUGAUUAGCAUUAAUACAUAAUUCUUGUAGGUUAAAUUGAAUGCACUAGUACUAAAAAAAAGAAGAAAAAAUUGUUGCAUAAGGCGAUAUUUAAUUGAUACAAAGACAUGAAUAAGUUAUCAUAAUUGCUCCUUACAUUUGUGUAGUUCACUCAUAUUCUUAAAUUUAUGUCUAACAUAGGUACAAACUCCUGCAGAAGAUUAAUUAGGUUGAUGGAAUGUGAAGAAAAAUAAAAUGGCUUCCAAGCGAAUUACAAAAUAAAGUUAUAGAAUUUCUUUAUUGGUGUUUGAGUUGAUUUAUUACAACAUUUGAUUUUCAUUUUGUACUAGGUAUUGCUAUUUUUAUCCUUUUGCCAUAUACUUAUUAUAUCCUUAAUGACCUAGCAUUUAUGGAUUGUAUGUCAAAGUUGAUGGUUUGGAUGAAUGUAAGCGUGAUUUGAAGUUAAGUACACUUUAAUUUUUCUAAUUUACUUAUAUGGGAAAAGUUUGUUAAGGAGGCAUUAUUCUGUUUCUUUUUUAUUAACAGAAUAAAAUUCUUAUUUAUUUUUAAAUUCAUAAUGCAGGUGAUCAAGGAUAUUCUGCAAAAAUGUAUUGAAGAGUGAGGACAAAUUGAAGAUAAUAUCUAAUAUUUUGUUUAAAGGUCACUAGAAAGUAUAGAAGUCUGAUAGUUGCAUAUUUAUUUUUUGUAAAUGUUGUAGUUGAAAGUUUAAUGUAUGAUUAUGGAUGUUUAAGUAUUUUUAUUUUAUCAACGAAUAAUGUAUAAUUUCUUUUUCAUCAAAGACUAAAAUGAUGUAUUGAAUUAAUGAAUUGAAUGAAGAAUAAUUUCUUUUUAAUCAAUAGAAUGACUAAAAUGAUUUAUUGAAUUCAUGAAUUGAAUGAAGAACAUUGAAAUGCUAUGAUAGCAUGAUGUUAAUGUUUUUAUAGCAUUUUAUAAAAGUUAUGUUAGAGAUUUGCAAGGGAACUGUACAUGAUUUGGUAGCGUUUUCUAAAUGUUCUCUUUGAACAAUGAUAGCAUUCACCUAAAGCGACGAAAGCUAAUUGCAUUGCACUAAUUCAAUGCUAUGUAUCAUAAUUUGUGGCAUGUAAAAAAUGCUACUAAUGUGUAAUACUUUUAGUUACACCGCCUAACUUAGCAUUGUUCAAAAUGCUACCAUUCAUUUUUGGUAGCAUUUUUCAGAUGCUAUCACAUACUGUUUUUGUUGUAGUGUUAUUGCUUGCCAACUCGAUUUCAUUAUAAAAUUUUUAAACUAACAAGAGAAAUCAUAUAUAUACUACUUUUAUUCAUAUGUACAUCUAACCACCUUAGAAUUCUAACAUGUUCUUUACACUACCUUUGCUUUUAAGUUAGUAUCAAUAAAUGAGACAAAUAUUAUAAAGUGUUAUAAAAAACUACAAGAAAUUUCAAUAGAUAUCAUUUGACUAGAUUUUCCAUCGGUUUCGGUUAGUCAAAGGUUAGAAAAAAUAGGUACAAUGUUUAUAUAAUACUUCUCCACAUAUAAAGAUCUCUAGAAGUCUUUUUCACCCUUAUAAUUUACUUUCAUAACAUAAACAAAGAAUAAAUAAAAUAGCCAAAAUGCCCAUCCAAUUGUUUCUAAUUCACAACAAUAUUCCAGAGGAUAAAGGAUACCUACACUCUAAGAUUUAGGAAAAUAGUUAUGUAAACCCCAAGUUUUUCAAUGAAGGACAUCAAGACUUCCUUUUCACUAUAAUUAAAAAUUAACUAACAAAUAUCAGUGUGAAAGAACUAGUAUUUUCUUAUACUUACGCAACAAUCUUACUAUAAUUUUUUAUAAGUAAAUCAAUAUUAGACAACUUAAAGUAAUGUGUAAUAUCUUUAUAACAAUCUUACUAAUAAUUAUUGUAUAAAAAAUUAUUUACUAAAUUAAUCUUAAAAGUAUAAUAAUAGAACAAAAGGUUGGUUAAAAUUUUUAUAUUACUUUCAAGGUUAAUUUGAUAACUUAUCAUUUUAUUCUUUUACUAACAUCACUAGGAAUAUUGUUGUAAUGACUAUAACAUAUUUAAUAGUAGGAGUACCUUGAGAAAUUUUUUAAAUAUAUGGACUAAAUGGACACUUAACUCGACUAAACCGGCACUUAACCUAAUCCAUUAUUUGUUAUAAUAUAAAUCAAAUAAAUAUUAUAAUAACAUUGGAAGUUUCAAAAGAUAUCGUUUGCCUAGAUUCUCCAUCGGUUUCGGUUUGCCAAAGGUUAGAAAAAAUAGGUACAAUGUAUAUAGAUUAUGCCCCUCCACACAUGAAGGUCCAUAAAAGCCUUUCUUACCAUUAUAAUCUACUGUCAAAACAUAAAUAAAGAAUAAAUAAAGUAGCCAAAAUGCCCAUGCGGCUGUUUCUAAUUCACAACAAUAUAAUAGAAGAUAAAAUUUCACUUUUAUCCUUACCUAUAUUUCAAACAGAAAACAAUUUAAAAUUGACUAGUAUAAGAUGAUGAUUGAUAAGCUAGAUAUUUCAACAUAAAAUUAAAAAAUUUUCUACUCCCGCUAAUCAACAAAUAAACCAUUCUGAAUUGCUGUUUUUUUUCAAAAAUAAUUUUCAUAUAAAUAUCUUCUUUUACUUCUAAUCAUAAGGACUUCCACAAAAUUUGCUGAUUUGUUCCAUUAAUGAACGAAUGCAAAACACAAAAGCACCGAUCCUCACUACCAAUAUCCAAAUCUACAGCAACACAUUUCAAUAUUUUACUUUUCAAAAAUCUUCAAUCCAAUGACUGUCUCAAAAUUCUCAAAACCUAAAGUUCGUUAUUAUUACGGUUUUUAGAAUCAAGUUCAUAAAUUCAUUGUCAGAAUUUGUCAUUUAAUUCAUCAAUCAAGCAAUCGCUCAAAAUUCUGUGAAACCCAAUUUUUGGUUUGAUAGAUUCUGAUAGCUGUUCACAUAGAAAAAAAUUAAUUGAAAUCAAAGUAAAUAUACAUUUAACCACACACAACAUUCAAAAGUUUGAUAGAUUCCUACCUUAAUUGAUAGCGACCCACUAAACCCAAAUGGCAAGAAAAUGCUUGGUCUUGUAGAGAAGAAGAAAUAUCUGUCCUUUUGAUAAGGAUAAGGAUCCUCUCUUGUCCCUUUUUUUUUCUCCUCCUUACUUCUCCUUAUUUAAUGAGUGGUUAAGAUUAAAUUUUGUAUUUAUUUUUCACUUUAUUUACAAUCAAGUUAACUUUUUUUCAAUAGAUUAUAAAGGUAAGGAGAGGCAAAUAUAAAAAAAAUGAGAAAAAGAUCCUAAUCCAUAAAUAUAACGUAGAUAAUCAUCCGUUCACUAGCGUACUGAUUACAAUGCAGUUUUAUAAUCGUUGCACGUUGUCAUGACUGCUUUUUUAAAAAAAAAAAAAAAAUCCGUAUAAUGAUUAUAUGAUAGCAGUUCAAGCUUAGAUUAUGACAUUAACACUGGUACUUGCGGUCAAAAUUAUCUUGUUAUUCAAAUAAAAAAAAUCAACAUUUUAUUAUUAUUUUUUUCUAUACAGCACUAUAAGCACAAUUGCCUAUAUAAACUCAUGCAGUUAGGUCCCUGCAGAUCACAAUCGCGAAAGCGCAAACUUAUUAAUUAACUAAGUUUAAGUACUGUUUUGGAAGCAAUCUGACGAUCAGAGAUGGUAACAAUGGAGGAGAUUAGAAAGGCUCAGCGAGCCGAGGGCCUGGCGACCAUCCUCGCCAUCAGCACGGCAACGCCGCCCAAUUGUGUCAUCCAAGCUGAUUAUCCUGACUAUUACUUCGGGAUCACCAACAGCGAGCACAUGACUGAGCUCAAAGAGAAGUUCAAGCUCUUGUGUAUGAAUGCGAGAUCAUUUUUAUUCUCAUUCUUUUAUUUUAUUUUAAUUGUUUAGCUUUUCUGGGUGUGCAUGUUGUUAAUGCAGAUUACGCAUCAAUGAUUUUGGUGAUUUGAUCUUAAUUUACAGGUGAGAAGUCGAUGAUAAGAAAGCGUCACAUGUGCUUAACAGAAGAGAUUUUAAAAGCAAACCCUAAUAUGUGCUUACACAUGGGGACAUCACUCGAUGCGCGCCAGGACAUUUCUCUUGUUGAAGUACCAAAGCUUGGCAAAGAGGCGGCAACCAAAGCUAUCAAAGAAUGGGGACAGCCCAAAUCCAAUAUCACCCAUCUCAUUUUCUGCACAUCUGCAGGCGUCGACAUGCCUGGCGCUGACUAUCAGCUCACAAGACUCAUCGGCCUCAACCCGGAUGUUAAGCGUAUGAUGAUAUAUCAACAAGGGUGUUAUGCUGGCGCCACCAUCCUUCGUCUUGCUAAAGAUUUGGCUGAAAACAACAAGGGCUCUCGUGUUCUUGUUGUUUGUUCUGAGAACACAAUCCCCACUUUCCGUGGGCCGUCUUAUACCCAUAUUGAUUCUCUAGUGGGUCAGGCUCUUUUCGCUGAUGGUGCUGCUGCACUGAUUGUCGGUGCUGAUCCUGAUACAUCCAUUGAGCGUCCAUUGUAUCAUAUUGUGUCGGCUUCACAGACGCUUCUGCCUGAUUCUGAUGGUGCAAUUGAAGGACACAUACGUGAGGCGGGUCUAACGGUUCAUUUGAAGAAAGAUGUUCCCGAAUUUUUUUCAGCAAACAUAGAGAAAAGCUUAGUUGAUGCAUUUACUCCAAUUGGUAUCAGCGACUGGAACUCGAUAUUCUGGAUUGCUCACCCCGGUGGUCCGGCAAUUCUCGACCAGGUCGAGGCAAAACUCGGCCUGAGAAAGGACAAGUUGAGAGCUAGCCGACAUGUUAUGUCUGAAUAUGGUAACAUGUCAAGUGCAUGUGUUUUGUUCAUUCUUGAUGAGAUGAGAAACAAGUGUCUUGAAGAAGGGAAAGCCACCACAGGUGAAGGGCUUGACUGGGGUGUGCUAUUCGGGUUCGGCCCGGGGCUCACCGUUGAGACCGUAGUGUUGCACAGUCUCCCUAUAGAAGCUUGAGGGCCACAGCGUCAAUAUAAAUAAAUUCAUGUUGCAUGCUUUGUAGAUUGCUUUGAGAUCAUAAGUAUGUUAACUGUUGGUUUAGUUGAGGUUUGGGUUCAUGCCCUUUCUUAUGGCUCUAAAGCAACAGAACUCAAUCCGUUCUUUGUUGUAAUAAUUUCCCUUUAUUUGAAUAAAAUUUAUCCGCUAUUUGUCUUUUUAUCAUUGUUUGUGUUUUUGAGCCAUUGCCUAUAACCGAGCGAAAAAUGAAAGGACUAGUCCCGAUCUCCUUAGGUAAGACUUUCUAUUUUAUCUAGAAUGACUAUUUGCCUCGUUUCCAAAUAUUUUCGUAUCUCCAACCUGCAAAUCUAUAUAAUCAACAAAUCCAAAAUGAUUUCAACCUCAACUGUUCUACAGUGAUCCAUUUCCUCAAAACGAAAUAACGGACAACGCCCGAAAUAGCACGGUCAAAUUAAUUCAUCCAACACAUCAAAUAGUAUCAAUAAAAUAUAAUAUAUGACUUAUGCUAAUACACAAUAAUAUCUAUGUAUCAUUAAUUAGAAUUUCACAAUCACCCUCAAUUGAGGCAAUCGAUUUGUUUGGCCAUCCACCUUGACGGCUUGACUCCUGGGAAAGGUGGAGAUAAAAAUAAAUAAAUGUGGGUUCUUCUCAUCCUUGUCUUCUUUGUUUUUUUGAAAAAAAAAUUGUACAUAAAAAUUACGUACAACUGGAUAAGUAUCGACAGUGGUUGUUAAAAAAAAAAAAAGUUGUACGUAAUAAUUGUACAAAAACGGAGAAUAUGAAAUGACCAAAACUCAAAUACUAUAGACGUCAAAAGGUUCAUUGGUUUGGCUACAACCUUCUACAGGGGAAAAAAAAUAAUUGUACAAAAACGGAGUGUUUGAGUACAUUACUAAAAAUAACAAUUGCUAAAAUUAAUAUUUGUACUUUAUUAAUUUUGUUUCCUUUAUGUUUUUAUAUUGAAAAUAAUUGAUAGGAUAUGGAAGACAUAUGGUAAUUAAGGAGCAUAUAUGUGAAUUUAAAAUUCAUAAUAAUAAUGAUGUACUUAAAUUCAUUGGUUUUAUUACAAAAUUUGUAUAAGGAUUGGAUGAUAUAUAUUGUCAAGCAAUAAAUUUAAGAAAAAAAAAAUCAAAUAUCAAAAUUUGUUCUUACCUUUUCAAAAUUAAUUUUGAGCCUUCUCACAGCAUUGCCAAACAUCGCUAAAUAGUAGUUUUCAUAUUAACUGAUUGUCCAAAUUAAUUGUCUGUCCGUUAAUACAAUUGAUAUCUUCUAAAAACCCUCCUGAAAUAAUUAGUGUGAUCAUCAUGUACUUUAUUUUUGCCUUCCCUUUUUUUGGGCCCGGGUGGUGGGGGGCCGGGGGUGAUUGGUGAUCUAUAUUUAUAAAUAUAUAUAAAUUCAUGUUGUAUGCAAUCAAUUAGAUUGAUUGGUGAUCAUAUGCGCAUGCCCGAUUUCUCUAGAAAAAUUGAGGAUCAAAGGGGUAAGAAGACUCAUCACAUUUUCACUAGCCCAAUUUGCCGUAGUUUCCUUUUAUUCAAUAAAAUUACCUCGCUUCGACAAGGUUCGUAUCUUAAAAAAAAAAUGUGUUUGUAUAAUUGUUUGUCGGAUUGGAGAACAGUUCGAUAGAUAUUAGCGUGAUCUGAUUUGUUGUUCCAAGACUGACUGUAUAACCGAUCGAAAAAUGAAACGGCUCGCCUCGUUAACCCAAAGAUCUUGUAAGCAGUAAUAAAUUAAUCUUUUUAACGUGGAAUAUCUAGCUAUGAUAGGAACAAUUUUCUGCUGGCUAUUCACCAGCUAUUAGUAAUAGUUUGUGAUCAAUGUUGACACGAAAAUAGACCAUAGAAUGCUGCCAAUUUUCAAUCAAUUGGAGUGACUACAUACACGACAGAGGAAGCACAGCUAGCUUUAGCAAUCAUUCAAAUAAAUCAAACCCCGGCAACCGGGUAGUCGAGACAGGAUAAUCCCCAAUCUCUAAAUUGUUGGCAGGAAGGAUGGCUAUUUUCGUCCAUUAUUUAUAACAUCGAAACGUUUUUUCCCCCUUAAUGUCAUUAUUAUUAUUGUGCCAAAAAGAGAGAAAUUUGUGAAGUGUGGAAUAAAGAGAAAGAGAUUCAGUGUAGAUUUUGAACCUCUCCUAAUCUAAUUUUUUCUAAUCAUUUAAAGAUUUGAUAACAUGUGACAAUUUUUGUGAUGAAUGGUUAAGAUUUCUUUACUUUUAUCUUUUUUCAUAAGUUGAUAUAUUACCCUAUUAAUAUUUUUGUCUUCUCUAAUUUUAAAAGAUUUACAUGAAUCCCUACAAUCAUAGGAGGAAAAAGAAAAAAAAAAGAGUCCUAAUGAUUCUUUUCCCAUAAAUUGAUAUAUUAGCAUAUUACUGUGUUUUAUCUUCCCUAAUUUUAAAAGACAUCAGUCCCUGUAAGCAUGGAAGAAAAAGAAGAUCACAAUUAGAAUCGUCUAAUGAAAUUGACAGAGUAUGAGAUUAAUAAAUACCCAAAUAGAUGUAUUAGAAAUCAAAUCCAGAAAUUAAAAAAAAAACAGCAAAAUUGCAGUCAAUUAACACCCAAACGAUUUCCAAUCUUAGUUAGCACUUAGCAAUAGAUUUGUUGAAGGAUAAGCAGUUCCGAGUUGCCUAUAGAAAAUAUAAUUGGUGGGAGAUUUACACAGAAGUAACUGUUCUUGUACGGCAUUGUUUUCCAUAUUUAUUUAGUUCGUUUUUAGAUUAAUUUCAGGUUCCCCAAAAAAAAAUCUAUUUAACAGAUUUUCGUUCAAAAAAAAAAGGGGAAAAGAAGAAGAUGAUAGACUUUAGAAGAAAAAAAUAAUCAUUUUUGGCCAAAAAAAAAACUACAAAAAUCUUGACCAUUGAAUAUAAAUUGCCAAUGUUGUGAGAUCGUUAAAAGAUGAAAAAUUAGAUUAGAAAAUGAUCCAAUUCCAGAGGGAUGAGAGCACGUAUUGAGCUCAAUAAUAAUAGAAAAAAACAAAUAAUGUGCUGUGUGAAAGCUUUUUGGAACAAUAAGGAGAGGAUAAACAUUCCCUUGUAUUAAUUUCAAAUGCCUCUAAGCCUUAUUUAUUCAAAAUGUUCAAUGACAUAAAACUAAGUCAUCAUGAAUAAUGAAUCAUGAUUCAUCUUCUUAAUAUAUAAGUCAUAAUACCUAUGAUUUCUUAUCAUGGAUAUACAUAUUUUAAUGGCAAUGAUUAUGGCUAUAUAUACAUGUAAUAUUGGAUAUUAGCCAAAUAUACUCGAUUGGGAAGAACUUCAUAAGAAUUAAUAAUAAUGAAGGGAAAGAAACAAUAAAUUAAUUGAUUGAUUGUCUUUUUUUUAAUUAUCGAUUAAGAAAUAUUGAUUAUCAAUUAAUAUAAAAAUUAAUUGAUUCUAAAUUUACUAUAUAAUCAACCGUUAUUGCUCAUCUAUUUUAAUUGUAUCAUUUUUUUUCAUACUUGCAUAAAUUGAGCUUUUUUAAUUAUGUAUAAAUAAGAGCUAAAUUUAUUUUUUCUCUGUAGUUCAUAAAAGUUUAUAAUAGUAUUUUGAGCUAUACCCAUGCCCGAAUUAGUCCACCCUACUUCGUUCAAAUUGAACCUUUCCAACACCUUCGGCACAUAAUGGCUUGGGACAAAAAGAUUGUACCCUUCUUUCUGUCUCUAAUCACUUUCAUGAUUGUACUCACCUUUCUAUCUCUGUUCAUCUUCGUUCCCAAAAUCUUUUUAGAUGCUCCAACUAGAAAAACCAACAAGGACACCAGAAGCUGAGCCUUGCAAAAAGAAACCAACAAAGAAACAAAAAGCUGAAACAAAAAAAUCAAAUCCAAGUCGGGGCCUUAAAGAGUUAUAAUAUUAUAAAAAAAGAAAAGAGGAAAAAAACAAGUACAUUAAUUCAGAAUACGAGCCUUUCUAAAAUUACUCAAAUUUCAGCAUUAACACAGCAUAUUAUGAGAUUACAAGGUGCAUAUUAAUAUUAAAAAUAAUUAAUAUAAAAUAUUUUAUAUUUUCUUCAUAUUUUGAAAAGUGGUUUCUAAUAAGACCUGAGAAAUUAUUAUACAUUCAUAUUUUCUUUCUUUUUUUUAAAUAGAUUUUUCAGUUUCAUUAUUUCAUAGCCUUUAUAUUUGGAUGAAAAGGAAACAGCAGUGGGUAUUAAAGAAGUAACAUUCAAAUUUCCAUCCUCAUUUAGUUUGCAUUCUUGAUUUACCAUUUCAAAUUUCAAGCGAUGAGUAAUUUUCAAAUCCAAACCAUCAGAGACGGUUGAGCUGAACGAUUGAAAAGCUUUCUUCAAAAACCAGUGAUGAUACCGGGUUAUUUCUGAAAAUAAAUAAUAGAGGUCUGUUGGAGAAUUAACAAAUAAAACACAUAAAAAACACACUAUUUUAUUUCUUCAACAACACUCCUCACUAAUUACAACUCUUAUUUUUCACUCUCUACACCUUAGAGAUUUUGCUACUUCACUUGAUGUUUAAACCAAAGGGGAGAGUGGGUAUUUAUACAUAAAACAAACUAAUCACAACCAUUCAUUUAUUCAACUAAUAAACAAAUCCUCACCAUCCAUUAAAACCUACCACUCACCUACUUCACCAACCACACCUAACACACCUAACAUAAAUAAUUCAAACCUCACCAACCAUACCUACUCAUGGAACCUUCCAUGAGUUGGGCUUGAUUUAUUCAUCUUGGAUCAAGUUUAUGAUCCAACACCUCCCCUUAAACUUGAUCCUGUGACACCAAGCAAACUUCUAAAUCUUACAAAGUCUUCUUGCUUGAGUGGCUUAGUGAAGAUAUUAGCUGCUUGAUCUUGUGAUUUUACAUACUUGAUUUGCACUUCUUUUCUUGCAAUACACUCUCUUAUGAAAUGAUAGCGAGUGUCUAUGUGUUUACUUCGAUCAUGAAAGACUAGAUUCUUGGAUAGGGCAAUUGCUGAUUUGUUAUCAACACAAAUCUCGGUUGGCUCUUCUUGUGCCAAACUCAACUCCUUCAGCAAAUUUCUGAGCCAAAUUGCAUGACAAACACUUGAUGUGUCAGCUACAUAUUCAGCUUCACAGGUGGAUAGCGUGACAAUUGGUUGCUUCUUUGACAUCCAUGUGAAAGCAGUAUCUCCCAUGAAGAACACAAAUCCUGUGGUGCUCUUUCGAUCAUCUACAUUUCCACCCCAAUCGCUAUCGCUGUAUCCAACAAGCUUGUAGUUUUUAGAAAAUGAGUAUAGCAAGCCGAAAUUAGUUGUACCUUUGAUGUAGCGAAGGAUUCUUUUUGCAGCUUUAAAAUGGGUGGUCUUUGGAUUCUCCAUGUAUCGGCUCACAAGUCCAACAGCAUAAAGGAUAUCUGGUCUUGUGCAUGUCAAAUAACGUAGGCUUCCAACUAAACUUUUAAAGAAUGUUGGAUCUAUAUCUUCGCCUUUAUCAUGUUUGGAUAACUUGACUCCGCAUUCCACUGGCGUGCUUAUAGGCUUACAAUCAUUCAUCUUGAACUUCUUGAGAAUCUCCUUUGCAUAGCUUUCUUGGGAGAUAAAUAUGCCUUCUUCCUUUUGCUUGACUUCAAUGCCGAGGUAAUAUGCCAUCAGUCCGAUGUCAGUCAUCUCGAACUCUUUGAUCAUCACUCUCUUGAACUCUUCAAACAAGCUUGGAUUACUUUCAGUGAAGAUGAGAUCAUCCACAUACAGGCACACAAUCAAAAUAUCUCCAUAUUUUUCUUUGAUGUAGAGAGCAUGUUCAUAUGGGCAUUUGGUGAAGCCUUUCUCUUGAAAAUACUUGUCAAUUCUGCUAUUCCAUGCCCUUGGUGCUUGCUUUAACCCGUAAAGAGCUUUCUUCAAUCUCAAAAUUUUGUCCUCGUGUCCUUUCACCACAUAGCCUAAUGGUUGUUCGAUGUAAACUUCUUCUUCAAAUAAUCCAUUCAAGAAAGCAGACUUCACAUCCAUUUGAAAAAUCUUCCAUUUGUUCUGAGCAGCCAAAGAAAUAAUAAGUCUAAUAGUUUCAAGUAGAGCUACAGGAGCAAAUACCUCGUCAUAGUCUAUGCCAGCCUUUUGACUAUAGCCUUUUGCAACUAGCCUCGCCUUGUGCCUUUCAAUUUCUCCCUUCGCAUUUCUUUUUGUUUUAUACACCCAUUUGACACCGAUCGCCUUGUGACUUUUUGGAAGAGUAGUAAGCUCCCAAGUAUCAUUCUUCACAAUGGCUUUGAUUUCUUCAUCCAUUGUAAUUCUCCACUUCUCAUCUAGUGCAGCUUCUUGGAAGUUGACUGGCUCACAAUCAGCAAAGAGGCAAAAGAGAGUGAGAUUAUCAUAUCUCUCAGUUACCUCAUAGAGAUCUUGAAGACUCCUUGUACGUUCUUCGGUUCUUUCAUUUAAGAAAGACAGCGGUGAAUCUCCGUAUGUGGUUGGUGCUGGUGAGAUAGGUGGAGUGGCAGGCUCUUAUUGUUCGUCUACUUGUUUUAUCUGUGUAUAAGCAUCUUCUUCAAUGGGAAAGAAGUUGAAGUCAUCCACACCAGAGCCAAAAUCUCAUUCUCCUUCUUCAUCAAAAAUUACAUCUCGACUGAUCACGAUCUUCUCGUUGUUUAGAUUGUAAAGCUUGUAUCCUUUGGAGUUGUUAUCGUAGCCGAUGAAGAUGAACUUCUUACUUUUGUCAUCCAACUUGGCUCUACUUUCGUCUGGUACAUGUACAUGGGCAAUGCUUCCGAAAACUCUUAGAUGAGUGAUGCUAGGUUUUUUUCCACUCCAAGCUUCUUGUGGCGUCUUGCCCCACACGCUUCUUGUUGGAGAUCGAUUGGAUAAGUAGACUGCACAUGCAACUGCUUCAGCCCAAAAUUCUUUAGGUAGCCUCUUACUCUUAAGCAUGCUUCUUGCCAUGUCGAGGAUGGUUCUGUUCUUCCUUUUUGCAACACCAUUUUGUUGGGGGGAUCUUGGAACUGUCAAAGGGCGUCGAAUUCCAUUUGCUUCACAAAACUCUAAAAAUUCUUUGGAAGUGAACUCUCCACCUCGAUCAGAUCUCAUGGCUUUAAUUUGGUAUCCACUUUCUUUUUCAACUGCAGCUUUAAAAUUCUUGAAAGCUUCAAAGACUUAUGAUUUUUGCUUCAAAAAAUACACCCAAGUUUUUCUUGAAAAAUUAUCUAUGAAGAAAAGGAAGUAGUUACUUUUACCAAGGGAGUUUGGCUUGAAUGGACCGCACACAUCAGUAUAAAUGAGCUCGAGUGGCUUCUAAGCUCUUGAGUUUAACUCCUUUGGAAAGCUCUUUCUAAACUGCUUGCCAAGUAAACAUCCUUCACAAAGUUGGUCAGGGUGAUUGAUGUAUGGUAAGUCUUUCACCAUGUUCUUCUUAGUUAGUAGCUCCAGUCCUCCAAAGUUGAGAUGCCCAUAUCGAAGAUGCCAAGUCCAGGAUUGAUCUUUGUGACAUGCUUUGAGAUAUUUUACAACAUCAUUUUGAAUAUUUAAAGAAAACAUUAUAUUCUUUGACAUUCUCACCUUUGUAAUUAGAUUUCCUUUGUCAUCUCUUAGGAAAAGACUAUAAUCUUUUAAGUGAAUAUCAUAGCCUUUUUCUAAAAGUUGACAUAAACUAAGAAUGUUGCUUUUCAUAUUGGGCACAUAGUAAACAUUCGAAAUUAUUUGGUGGCUACCAUUUUUUGCACGAAAAAGAAUGUUACCUCUACCCUUCACUGGUACUUUUGAAUCAUCUCCAAAAGCGACACUGCCAUUCACAGAUUCACUUAGUUGCACGAACAUGCUUCUAUUUCCACUCAUAUGAUUGCCAGCACCUGUGUCAAGAUACCAUGUAUUUUCUUGACCUCCACUUGUGUCAUUGUGUGCUAGUAAAAGUGUGCCAUCUUCACCAUUUUUCGCUUCAGCAUAAUUCACUCUCUCUUCAAUUCUGGUGCUUGGAGCUCUGCAUUCUGAAGCAUAAUGCCCAAACAUUUGACAAUUAUAGCACUGUACUUGGGAUUUGUCAUACCUCGAUUUUGGAUUGCCUCUGCCUCGUCCUCUGGUUGAGCUUUCUCCUUUGGCAUAAUUGGAGUUGUUGUUGUUGAAAUUCCAACCUCAUUCAUGACCACGACCUCUACCUCGUCCUUGACCUCUACCUCAGACAUAGUGCCUUCUCUCGUUGUCGGAGCUUUUUUCUCUUUUCUUUGGAUUGACUUCCAUUUUGAGAAGUUGUUCUUCGAUUCCUUGCUUCUUUUUUUGUUUUUCUUCAUAGGCUUGCAACCUUCCUUGAAGUUGUUAGAUCGUCAUAUCCUCCAGAUCUCUUGUUUCUUCAAUUGUCACAACAAUAUGGUCAAAUUUCGAGUCUACUGAUCGAAGUAUUCUUUCAAUGAUCCUUACCUCUUUUAACUCCUCGCCAUUUCUUUUUAAUUCAUUGGAAACGGUCACAACUCGAGUAAAGUAGUCAGAAAUUGACUCCGACGCCUUCAUGUGUAAGGACUCAAAUUCUCAUCGUAAUGUUUAGAGACGAACCUUCUUAACUUGCUCCGCUCUUUUGUAAGAGGUCUCUAAUUUCUCCCAUGCUUCUUUUGAGGAGGUUGUACCAGCAAUCUUUUCAAAAGCAUCUUCAUCUAAUGAUUGAAAGAUGAGAUACUUUGCUUUAUUCUCUUUCUUCUUCAAGUCUUUUAAAUUCUCCUUCUGCGCCGCAGUUAAAGUGGCUUCAUUUUCUGGCACAAUAAAGCCUUUCUCCACGACAUCCCAUACGUCAUGUGCGCCCAAUAGAGCCUUCAUUUUAAUACUCCAAUUGUCAAACUUACUUCCCUUUAAUUGUGGAACUUGAAAUGACAUCACACCCCUGUUUGCCAUAACUCACAAAUUGAGUGAGAAUUUGGAGAUUCUGAAAGCACAGAUGGAUCCGGCACGUCGAAAAACCUUGGGAAGGACUCGAGUCAACUUUCGGUCAACGGUCAAUAGUCAACGCUGGUCAAAGGUCAACGCUGCUCAAAGGUCAACACCGGCUUGGUAGUCUUGGCUCGGUUCGGAUUGGUUCAGCUCGAGUUGGCUCGGUUCGACUUGAUUCGAUUCAGCUCGGUUCGGCUUGGUUCAACUCGGUGAGUCGACUCAGCUUCAGGACAGAAAGCUUCCGGCGGCAAGUGUGGGCGCAUCCCGUCUCGGAUCGGGAUGAUUUUUGUGGCGUCACGUUCCUCUCGUCGCGAUCUUCGAUUUGAUAUGCUAUAUGACUAUAUAUAGCAUCAAGCACUAGCUCUGAUACCACUUUGUUGGAGAAUUAACAAAUAAAACUCAUAAAAAAACACACUAUUUUAUUUCUUCAACAACAUUCCUCACCAAUUACAACUCUUAUUUUUCACUCUCUACACCUUAGAGAUUUUGCUACUUCACUUGAUGUUUAAACCAAAGGGGAGAGUGGGUAUUUAUAUAUAAAACAAACUAAUCACAACCAUUCAUUUAUUCAACUAAUAAACAAAUCUUCACCAUCCAUUAAAACUUACCACUCACCUACUUCACCAACCACACUUAACACAAAUAAUUCAAACCUCACCAACCAUACCUACUCAUGGAACCUUCCAUGAGUUGGGCUUGAUUUAUUCAUCUUGGAUCAAGUUUAUGAUCCAACAAGGUCUCAUGAGAUCAAAUGAGGAGCGCUUGAAGUAACCCUCUACUCGUAACUUUUAGCCUAAAAUUGAGUUUGAACUAAUAUGAGGAGAGAUGUGGUAUUUUAUCUUUCUCAUUCCUAUCUUCUGUUUCCAUUCUUCCCAACGUUAUUUUUGUAGUUGAUUAUCUGACAAUUUAUGAGCUUGUUACCGAAAGAAUUUCUGGAUGCAUUUAUUAUGUGGCCAAUUGAGGAAGUUAAGGGAAUCCUAUCUAGUAUAAUUUUGAAUAAAUCAUGCUAGGCCGAUUUCCAAUAGGUCGAACAAUUUCUUAUUUAAUUUAUUUUUAUGUUUCUUAUUUUAUUAGGAUUUCAUAAUUCUAUGGGGAAAAGAAAGCUUGCAGCUUGGCCACCCCAAGUCAAAAACGUUGCAGGAGUAUUUAAAAAGAGUGAUGAUAUCUCCACCCCUCAUUUUUUGUAAAUUCACCUCAUUUUUAAAAGAUAAUUAUAAAAGUUGCACAUUAUUUUUAAUUUUCAAAUCAAGAAGAACUUUGGAUAAUUAAUUAAUUAAAUCUAUCUUAAUUCACUUUUUUUGUAACUUAGAUUUUUUUCAGCAUGUUUGAUUACAAAGAUUGCUUUAACAUAAGUUUCAAUUGACUAUUUUACCCUUAUAAACUAAAAUUAUCAAGAAUUUAAUUUAUCAAUAUUUUUCUAAUUUGUACCAAACUUAUUGUUUCUAAUACUACUUUAUUAAUACGAUUAUUAUUUUUUAAUUGAAUUAACAUAGUGUCUUUAUGGCACAAUUUUCAUAUAAAUUAUUAAAUUGUCAAAUUUAUGUCAUUUACAUGUAAAGGUAGUGAAAUAAUAAUUAGGUUUCAUUUAAAAAUAAUAGAUUAUAAGCCGCA
RNAcentral lists this long non-coding RNA (48781 nucleotides) under Citrus x clementina. RNAcentral's name for it is "Citrus clementina (C. clementina) long non-coding RNA (CCLE_LNC001581)". The record is from RNAcentral. Lineage: Eukaryota; Viridiplantae; Streptophyta; Magnoliopsida; Sapindales; Rutaceae.